GAUGUAAGUACCUGAACAUUAUUUUGGUUCUCUGUUGCAGAAUUCUUAUGGGCUGGUUGUGGUAUAGAGAAGUAGUAAUCCAUAAGCAAGCAUUGAUUUUAUCAAAUUAAUGAAAUUCAUUAUCUGUUGUUUAACCUGUGCUUUCCAAUAGCGUAUAUUAGAUACUUGCUUUAUUUCAUAAUACUACCUACAUGCUUCCUAAUGGGAGGCAAAAACUGAAAGUCUGUUGCCCAAGCCUUCUGCAGAGAAGAGAUAUUCUAAACAGAAUAACCACUACCAUGUUGGUUUUAGGUUUGCUACAAACAAUUAGCUCCGGUUAGGAAAACAAUGUAAAUGGGUACUUAUAGGACCUAUGAACAUAACUGAAACAUAAUGUACAGUUCAGUUCAGAAAUAUGUUUUUAGAAAAAAAAUCUUCGUAUGAUGAAAAGGGCCUAUUUUGUGCAUCUCCUGACUAGAAGUUAUGCUAGUUUGUAUUAUUCUGCAAUAAAAUUAUGUGCUAUGCUACACUUCAUCUAAUUAAGCAUCGACAUAUGCUGCAAUUAAAAAAAUCCAGUGAUUUCUUCAAACAUAUGCCUCGUGUUUGAACUGAAUAAGGCACCUGAUGAGGGUAGAAGUUGCUUCCUGAAGCUUUGGUCAAAGUGCUUCUAGAGUACUUUUAGUUUCACUUUGUGGUUUCCCCCUCUAAAAACAAGAUGGCAUUUGCUUGGUAGUUGUCAAUGUUUUCAUCAGCUAUCCUGAUGCCAUGAUUCUAAAAAAAAUGAUGGUUCUAAGAAAAUAUAUAACCAUGUCCAUCUUAUUUAUGCUUCUGUAUUGCAGGUUUAUGUUUAGAGCAUGGUUUUCUAACUCACACUUCAUCUUCGAGCCAGCAGCCCGUGGGUUGCAAACACCUUCCCCCACAACCAUCUUCCCCACUAAGAGAAGCUUCCUCCCCAGGUCUUUCGUCGCCGCAGCAUCCCUCCCUCGUACAGGACAUUAGGUACCUGAUUGAUUCCUCUACUCUGUAUUUUUUUCUACUUGCUUCUGGUGUCUUGUCUUGAGCAGGGCAAUAGUAUUUAGUGGAUCAUAAAUUGUUGUCUUAUGCCAACACACUUUUGUGCCCCUUCAGAUUUGUAAGUGCUGCCUCUUGAACCUAACACAGUGCCCUUUAUUUAAGGUUUUAUUAGGAAAUUAAUAUGACUAGCACUAAAAUCUGACUUUUGUGUCCAUUUUAUAGACCAGUACAUAUAUAAGUUCUAGACAUGGAUAACUAGUAUAGAAGGGUCCAUUUUAUAGACAUCAUUAUAUUUCUUUCCACUCUAUUGCUUUCCAUAUAGACAUAACUCUAGAUAUAUAUAACUAGCACUAAAAUCUGACUUUUGUGUUACUGCUGGUAGGCUCAAAUGGAGGCCUAUGUUGCUCAACCAAUAGAAGAAGGGCAAGAUCCGAAGACUCCUGUUGAAGCUGUAGCUCACGUUCUGCCAAAAUCAACUUUUUUUCUUAAUGGUGUUGUAUUUUAAAACUUGUGGAAUGCUUGUGAUAUUGCAGUCAUAUGUGGAGAUGUUCAUUCAUUUGAAUCAGAUUUUUGUAUGAGCUAAAGAUAUAUGAUAUAAUUAUAUGUGCUAAAAUAUUGCAUACUGUAAAUUCUCAGAGCUAUAAAGUUGGACCAAAAAGAAAAAUGAAAAUAAAAUAAUUGGCCAAGCAAUAUGAGGCCAAAAAAGCCUGUGGCCCAUGAAGAGGUUGGCUACUAUGUGGGCUUUAGCAGGCCAAAUUUAUUUUGUUACGUUUUUCUAUGUGGCAAGGUCUAAGCUUUUGUGACAACAAAUUAGUGUCAUGAACUUAUAUGACACUAAAAUCCAGUGUCAUAAACUUGUGACAAGAAGUAUAUAAAUGUCAUAAAACAAAUUUGUGACACUGGUUUUUUGACGUUACAAUUUUCGUCAACCCUAUGUCAUAAACCUUAAGUUAUGACAUUAAUUCCAUAUAUUGUGACAUAAAUAGAACGUCAAAAAACCACUCAUUUCUUGUAGUGGGUGUAUGGUGAUGAUGGUGAUAACAAUGGUGAAAGUCUAAUUCUACUUUUGCUCUUUAAGGGGAUACAUACCUUCCUUGCUUUUUGAAACUUUAUGAGGAGAAUGAGAUGCUCUUCUUUUUCUUUUCUCUCAGGAGGGUAUCUUGUACCCCUAAUUCUACUGUUGGACACUUGUCCAUUUUUACCUCUCGUCUCACUUUUUCUUUUCUUUCGAGGUUCCGGGUACUUGCCCCUUUUUAUUUCCUCGUAUCUUUUCUUCUCUUUUUUUAGAACACUCAUCUCUUGAGAUAAUAUAGCAAGUGGUAGUAACAAGAUAACUUGAGCAUUUAUUUCACAAAGGAAAAACAGAAAUAUUUUUGGUUAUUCUCUCCCGGAUUAGGAGUAGAAUAUUUUUAGGUGGUUCUGGAGAUGAAAAUGGGUGGAUAUAUGUAGAUGGUACUUCCAGAGUAGAAGUAGCAUAUAUGAGUGAAUGUGCAAGUGAAAUCUUGAUUUUAAUUACAUGACAAGCUCCUAAGGGUCUACACAGCUUGACCACACUCAAUGCUCAUAAGCAGUAAAUAGUAAAUGUGUGGCUCAAAGUCUAGCAAGCAUGUAUAUAUGGUUGUGGUAGGAAUUUAAACUCUUAUCAAACAGGAACUCAUCAUGCAAUAUUUUGAAGAUUUUCAAAGAUAACAUUCUCCAGAAUUCUAGCAUCUCUAGGAACAGAUAAACAGCAGCUCAACCUUCCCAUAUCGUAUCCGUUAACAACUUAGACUUCAGAUCAAGUUUUCAUCCCACAAGUUUAGGUCUAAAGCAAGCUUUAAAUUAUAACAGUUAUGUCUAAACUUGAGAGAGAACUUAAAAUGUGCAAAUUAGGCAGAGCAAUUAUUCAUCAUAUCCAUGCUAGAGUUUUAUUAUUAAGAUACAGAUUAGCAUAGCCACUUUAUUUAUUUAUUAAACACACUAAGCAAAAGAUAUAUAUAUAUAAGCACAAAAUCUUUUUUUGGUUUUUCCUGGUUUAUGUAUAUUUAUAUUCUAAAAUAGUAUAAGUAUAAAGAUAGAUAGAUAGAAAUACUUAGCGGGAUAAAUGGGGGUGCUCUCCCCCAAGCUGAAUUUUGACGUAAUUUCUCUUGAUGUAGCUAGCAGGUGGCAAAGGUGUAUUUGAAAGUUAGCAGCAUUCUGACAGCGAUUAGAAUGUCCUCCGUCUGCUAGUCUUCUUGAUUCUUAAAUUCUGUGGAGCUCAAAUAGACAACAAAACUUGUGGAACUGAUUAAGUGUUAGCAUAAAUAUCUAGCCAUUAUCAUGUUGAGACUCCUUAAUAAUUAUUACUCCCUGUUUUUAUAUUUUCAUUUUAUAAAGCAGAAAAGAAAUAUUUAUUUUAUUAUUAUGCCACCACAGUGAAUGUACUUAUGAGUUUUAUGCCACUCGUAGGCUUACUGUUUUUUAACAUUUUUAUUUUCUUUUUAGGAUAGUAUGAACAUGAUUAACUAAGCAAAAUAUUUAAAAUAAUUGAAAGGAAAAGGAUAACUACCAAGUUUACCUCUUGGCAAGGCGUUCGGUGUUUUUAAGUCCUCUGAACGGGACUCUCCAUUUUCUCAAUUGUCCUGGGAUUCAUUGGGUGGCGGAGUCGGUACUUCCGGCAGCGCCUCCUCUUCAUGUAUAGUUAUCUUCUCUUUCCAUACCUAACUCGGUGCUUCGGCCUCCUCUGGAUAAUUCUGUUUAAACAGUACGUCUUCUGACCUUACAACUUCUCCUUCAUAGUCUGCCCAUCCGUCCUUGAUGAUUUGCCUCCUCUGGUUGCGGUUGCGUCGUUUUCUUACCUGCUUAGAUUCUUCAACGAUAUAGUUAGGGUCAGUAAAAUAACGGUGUACCUUCUCUGAGGGGAAGUGCAUAUGGACUUCUCUAGUUCCAAUGUAGAUGAUUGCUUUAACGGUACUGAGGAAUGGUCUUCCAAGGAUGAUGGGUGGAUCGUACUCGUCUUCUCCCAUGUCAAUAACCUGAAAGUUUGUGUAGACAAAAUGAUCGUCUAUUUUGACUGGGACAUCAGUUACUGUUCCAUUAACCUCUCGAAAUGUCUGAUCUGCCAUCUGGAGCUGAAUGUAUGUUGGUUUUAAGGGCAUGGUUCCGAACAAGAGCCGAUAGGUGACUGCGGCCAUUAUGUUGACGCCCGAUCCGGUGUCGCAAAAUGUCUUGUAGAAGCUGUAUCCAUUUAUGGAGCAGUAGAUGCUUGGCAUUCUUGGGUCGUCUUUCUUGGUCAAAAAUGGUGACUUAAGUUGAUGAUCUUGGCCUCCAUGAACUGCAGUGACCAUCUUAGCUGAUUCGGUCCACACUUGCUUGUUCCUGUUCCUCCUGUUGGUCCUCUUCCUUGAUUCACGUCUGGAUUGAUCUGGGAUUUGUGUAGUCUUGUUCUUGAUUCAUAUACUUGUGCUUGUGUAGUUGCUCUUGUAAUUAGUUAGCUUGUGUAGCUUGCUAGUUACCUUCUUGCUUGUGUAGCUAGAAGUAGUUUCCUUGCGUGACUAAUUUGGUUUGUGUAACCUUGUUUGUUACAUCACUUAGUUUGUGUAGCUAAGUAAUUUGCGCUGUCUAAUUUGGCAUUGGUUUCCUUUUUAUUGAGCUUGCUAGUGAGCUUAGGCUUUGUGCGCUUUGCCUCACUAGUUUGUGUAGGAGCUCCCCCGGUUUGCAAAGUACUAGUUGCAUAGGUUUGUGUGACCUUGCUCCUAGAAUUGUUUAGGUGAGCUCUUGCUAAGGUAGCACAUUGCAUGCUUGUGUAGGAUCUUUUUAAGGUGCUAGAGAACUUAGAUAGAGGGGUGUAGUCUUAGCUAGACCGAUAGUUUUAAUUCCGCACUUAUUUUGGUUAGCCGGCGCGAUAAGUUUUAGAAAGGACUAUUCACCCCCCCCUCUAGUCCGCCAUCUCGACCCUUCAACAUGGAGCUAAAAGUAGCUAGAGAUAAGAGGAAGAUGCAACUCUCUAAGCUACAAUAAUGGAGAGAAAAAGCAUAUCACAAUGCCACGAUUUAUAAAGAGAGAGUAAAAAGAUGGCAUGACAAAAGGAUCAAAAAGAAGUUCACCCUAGGCGAUAAGGUAUUACUUUUUAAUUCUAGGGUGAAGCUCUUCAGGCAUGGAAAACUUUGAAGCAAAUGAGAAGGACCAUUCGAGAUGGUGAGCUCAUCGUCGCAUGGAGCCGUCACACUUCGCAACAAUGAAGGUACGUGUUGACGGUCCUUAAUGCUCACAUUUAACCGUCAACUAAUCAUGGAAAAGGAUCCAAAUGCAACCAACAACCAGACUUAGGGUUUUAUCUGACAGGAUUCCACGAGUUUUGGUGUUUGUCUAUUUCUGCAGGGGGUUAUCAGGAAAUAUGGAAGAAAGGCCCACAUGUCGGGUUUACAUAGAGAUAUUAAUGUGCCGUGCAAUUUUCUAUCAUCUAGAAGACUCCAGAAGCCACGGGAACGAACGGGAAGCCGAGAGGGCUCAGGGAUAGGGCGCCCGCCCACCUUUUUCCACCAAUCACGAUCAACUUUGCGGAUCAUGCUCCACCGACCUAAGGGAUCAAAGGAAAACCGUGCGAUUGAUGUCGGUUUAAUCCGACGGCCCAGAUUCAUCUGAAAAGACUAUAUAAGCAAGGUCCCCUGGCCCCUGGAGAUCAUACCUCUUCUACAGAAUCAAAGCUAGGGUUUUAAUUAUUUAUCCAAGUAGAGAGGAUCCCUCUAGUUCAUCUAGUUCUAGCUCUAGUUCAUCUAGUUCUAGUUCUAGUUCAUCUAGUUCUAGUUCCUCUAGUUCUAGUUCUAGUUAGUUCUAGUUGUAAUCUAGAAAAUAGGGAGAGAGAAGAGGAGAGCGGAGGAGGAGCCGGAUCUGUUGGAUCUUCCUCAACAUUAUACUUUUGCUGCAACUGGUUCGUUCUUCAUCGUUCUCCAAGUUCUUUAAUUCAUAAUUCCUAACUUCUUUAAUUACUUUUAUUUACAUUCAAGUUAUUUAUUGGAUUCCCACUUGCAUCAAGUGCUCUAGUCUUUAUAACGCUAGAGUAGUAAUUAAUAGAUUAGACGUGGUGUUUAGUCUUGCAAUUACCUAGAAUUGCACCCAAUCCUGCGGAUUGUUGUGGUAGCCCUAGGGUAGUGACAACCCUAAAGGUCGAUGUAUUCCACCUCGUUUGGAUCGGUGUUUGUAGGACCGUAGUUAGAGCUUCCUAGCCCCCUUCUCAUCUCUUUGUGUGGUUAGUGUUCUGAUGUCCCAAAUAAAUAAUCUUUGAAGUAAUUCUUGAUUCUUAGACCAACUAGAGAACUCUUAGGAAACUUUCUCUCUUCCCACCAAAAAUAAUUAUAUAGUUAUCCUUGGGCGAUCAUGAAUCUUAAUUAGUACACUCACGUUCCCUGUGGAAAAUCGAUACUCUAGAAUACUCCCGGGUGAAAGCUACAUCGGUAUCCGUGCGCUUGCAGAUUUUUCUGUUUGCGUUUAAAAUACCCAACAAGCUUUCUGGUGCCGUUGCCGGGGAACGGUAGUUGUGCUAGUUUCGAACCAAGUCGUCCGUGUAUCCUUUUUCUUUUUCCUUUUUUACCACACUCACCUUACCAUUUUCAUCAUACCACAUGGAUUUCACUCCAAACAUUAAUGAGCAUGGAAUUUAUUUCAUAGCCACUUCGUUUACUCCAUGCUCAUAUGUAACAUCUUCCCAAUCCAUUGGUGUCUCCAACAUCAUCACAUUCGAGAUCUCCAACCCCCUCUUCUUUUCUAUUUAUGAAAACUUUAAAAGGGCGGUUGUCGAUGCAUAUGUCUAUAAUAAAUAUUGCAGAUCUCGUUGAGUUGAUAUAGGUCAGCGUUGGAGGGGAAACCACUUCGCCGACAUAAAUUGAUGGUUUCCCAAGGACAAGCUUAGUGUCCUAAAAUAAGCACUGAUUAGAUCGUAACAUGAGCUUUGAAUUAUUUGCAUCAUUACCUUGUGUUUUGAGCAUAUAAGGAUAAUUGUAAAAAAAAUUCCUUCGGGUAUUCUUGUCACUAACCUUUCCAGGAUUGGAGCAAGAAGAUCGGAUGAAUGACAAGCACAAGGUAUGUCCAACCAAUCAUCAUACAAUAUUGAAUUAAAUUCAUCCAAACUUGAAUUUUGCAAAAUUCAAGCUUGGGGGAGUACUUUACAUAAAAACAUCUUUUGUCAUGUUGCUAUGUUGGUUGUCCCUACCUUUGAGACAUGCUCAAUUUGUUAAAUACUAAUCACACUACUUCAUCUCCACUUGAGUAGAACUCUAUAAAUGCUCUCAUGCUACCUUUAUUUGCUUUAGUAUAUGUCUAGGUUUGGAGUAGUUUCAUUUAUCUCUUAAUUAAGCAUGGUGCUUAGUUCAGGAAUGAUGAUCUUACUUCCAAAGGAUUUUAAAUUAAGCAUGGUGCUUAGGUUAAAAUGCCCUCCUAAAUCAAAUUAGACAUGGUGUCUAGGUUGAUUUUUGAGCCGAUAGUAUGCUAUAGUAGAUAUUGGAUAUUUUGUUGGACUAACCCCUGCAGGAAAACUUUCAAUAUCGACCUGGGAGGUCCUGAGAUAAACUCACAUUGGAGACAAAGAGAGAGACACGUGAAAUUUAACAAUUUACACAAGGAAGGCAUAGCUCACAAGAGAUGAUCCAUGGAGGGUGCCACAAACACGAUGCACAACUGCUAAGAAAGGAAAGCUUCCACAAGGUGAUACUGUACCAUCACUCUUCAAGUAAGGUAACAUCUUGAGGUACUUGACUAUCACUUUUUAUAAGCUUCUCCUUGGUUCUGGCGUUCACAUGAAUAAAAGAGAGAAACAUGUAUGAUUUACAACUCUAGAUUAACCAACCCAAUCGAUUCAACAAGUUUAGUCCUUCCACCUUUGUGAUCCCAUACUCCUAAUAUGAGCUAAAAUGUUGCACACGCAAUCUUUGGAAGAUAUAUAAAAAAAGAUAAGUAUAGAUAGAUUAUCUUUCCAUUAGGUUGAGCAAUCUGAUCUGACAAAUGUUUUAAAUGCUACACUCAUGAUCUUAUUACCCAUCAGAACAAAUACACUUUUGGUUCUGUUGGUGUUUUCCACCAACAGGUCCCAUGCACUUGAUCUCUGCCUUGUCUCUAUGAGCAGGUACACUUCGAGCAAAAUAUGAAGGAGUUUUACAACUCCCAGACUCCACCAAAUGAAGAACCUAGAUCUACGAGCACAAACACACUGGAGAUACUGGACACUCAGGCAAUCAAUGCCCUGAGAUGCUUGAGGACGUAACUACUGGAGUAACCCCGUUGUGGAAGUAAUUACUGACCUUCUGCCGGUCAAGAGAGACAAUCCAGGACGCCCCGUCAUCCCGAUCUCCAUCGGCAUGAAGGACUUCCUAGAAGCACUCUGCGACUUUGGCUCCAGCGUCAACAUUAUGCCCAGGGUACUCUAUGAAAAAUUCUUUACACAUCCUUUACUAGAAACAACCAUGUGUUUGUAGCCUGCAGAUCAGACACUAAGUUUCCCAAAGGGGAUAUUGAAGAACCUCUGCGUCCGAGUUGGUACCUUGUUUGCCCCAGUAGACUUCGUGGUGAUAGGGACUGGUACUGAUGAGAGGGCACCCAUCAUCCUAGGGAGGCCAUUCCUGAACACCUCAGGAGCUGUCAUCUACGCUAGUGCUGCCAAGAUCAGUUUCUACAUCAAGGGGAGGAAGCAGACGUUUUCCUUCAAGAACAAGAAUACACAAAUCUCAGCGCAAUCCCGACAUGAACCAAGGAAGAUGACCAACAGGAGGAACAGGAACAAGCAAGUGUGGACCGAGUCAGCUAAGAUGGUCACUGCAGUUUAAGGAGGUCAAGAUCGUCGACUUAAGUCACCAUUCCUAACCAAAAAGGACUACCCAGCUCCAGAUGGCAGAUCAGACACUCCGAAAGGUUAAAGGUUAUUGACAUGGGAGAAGACGAAUACGAUCCACCCGUCAUCCUUGGAAGACCGUUUCUCAGCACCGUUAAAGCAAUCAUCUGCAUUGAAACCGGAGAAGUCCACAUGCACUUCCCCUCUGAGAAGGUACGCUGCUAUUUUACUGACCCUAACCAUAUAGUUGAAGACUCUAAGCAGGUCAGGACAAGAAGAAGACGACGCAACCGCAGUCAGAGAAGGUAAAUCAUCAAGGAUGGAUGGGCAGACUACAAAGGAGAAGUGGUAAUAUCUGAAGGCAUACUGCUUGAACAGAACUGUCCUGAGGAGACCGUAGCACCGAGUCAGGUGUGGAGAGAGAAGAUAGUUAUACACGAAGAAGAAACGCCGCCGGAACCACCGACUACGCCAUCCAGCGAAUCUCAGGACGACCGAGAAAAUGGAAAGUCCCGUUCGGAGGACUUAAAAACACCGAACGCCUUGCCAAGAGGUAAACUUGAUAGUUAUCCUUUUCCUUUCAAUUAUUUUAAAAUAGUUUGCUUAGUUAAUCAGGUUCAUAUCAUCUUGAAAAGAAAAUAAAAAUGUUAAAAAUAGUAAGCCCCAUGUAAGUAUGCUCAUGGCAUAAAAACCAUAAGUACAUUCACUAUGGUGGCAUAAAAAUAAAAUUAAUAUAUUUCUGUCCUAUAAAAAUGAAAAUAUAAAAAUAAAUUUAUGAUCCUACCGAAGAAAGUAAUAUUUAUUAGAGGAAGUUCAACAUGAUAACGGCUAAGAGAUUUUAUGCUAACACUUAACUAGUUCCACAAAGCUUUGUUGUCUAUUUGAGCUCCACAGAAUUCAAGGAUCAAAGAAGACUAGCAGACUGAGGACAUCCUAAUCGCUGUCAGGGUGUUGCCGACAUUCAAAUACACCUCCACCAUCUGCUAGCUACACCGAAAGAAAUUACGUCAAAAUCCAGCUUGGAGGAGAGCACCCCCAUUUAUCCAGCUAAGCGUUCCACUUAUGUUUAUAUUUUACUCAAAUAAUAAAAAGAUGCAUAAUCAUAAAAACCCAAAUAAAGAUUUUGUGCUUAUAUAUAUAUCUUUGCUUAGUUUGCUAAAUAAAUAAAUAACUAAAUAAAGUUUGCUAUGAACCCUCAUGAUAAGCUCUCACAUGGAAAUGAUGAAUAGUUACUCUGCCAUGACUAGUUCUCAAAAUUGAAAUCUCUCUCAAGUUUAGGCAUGACUGUUAUUAAUUAAGAAUUGCUCUAAAUCUGAACUUGUGGGAAGAGUACUUGAUCUAAAGUCUAAGUCGUUAACGGAUACGAUAUGUGAAGGUUGAGCUGUUGUUUAUCUGUUCUUAGAGAUGCUAGAAUUCUGGAGAAUUUUAUCUUUAAAAAUCUUUAAAAUAACACAUGAUGAGUUCCUGUAUGAUGAGAGUUUAAAAUCCUACCACAGCCAUAUAUACAUACUUGUCAGACUAUGAACCAUACAUAUUUACUUUUUACUGCUUAUGAGCAUUGAGUGUGGUCAAGCUGUGUAGACCCUUAGGAGCUUGUCAUGUGGUUAAAUCAAGAUUCACUUGCACGUUCACUCACACAUGCUGCUUCUACUCUGGAAGUACGCAUCCACAUAUAUCCACCCAUUUCCAUCUCCAGAACCAUCCAAAAAUAUUCUACUCCUAAUCCGGGACAGAAUAGCCAAAAACAUUCUCCUAUUUCUGUUUUCCCCUAUGAAAUAAAUGCUCAAGUUAUUUUGGUUACUACCACUUGCUACAUUAUUCUAGGAGGGUGAGUGCUCUGAAAAAAAGGAAAAAUACGAGGAAAUAAAAUGGGGCAAGUGCCCGGAACCUCGAAGAAAAGAAAAAGUGAGACGAGAGGUAAAAAUAGACAAGUGUCCGAUAGUAGAAUUAGAGGUACAAGAUACCCACCUGAGAGAAAAGAAAAAUAAAAUAUAGAGUAUCUCAUUCUCCUCAACAAGUUUCAAAAGAGCAAGAAAGGUAUGUAUCCCCUCAAAAGAGCACAAGUAGAAUUAGACUUUCACCAUUGUUAUCACCAUCAUCACCAUACAUCAUUCAUUCGCCACACAUGCACAUCUUGAUUUGACUUAUUGACUUGUUUCUUUGGAUUCACGGUUUAACUAUGCAAUAAAUGUCUUGUAAGUAUGUAUUAGCUGUCUCCCACCUAUGAGCUCCAGAUAUCAAAACCUUAUUAGAGUAGGGUGAGAGAGAAGGCAAUGCCACUAUGCCUCAUACCAAAAAUACCACAUACUUUGAGAGAAGGCAGACACCAUUACUGCCUUGGUAAGGAUCCAGAAAUACCACAAAAGAGAGACUAGAGAGAGUCAUACAAGGAAUCUCUGAGUUUUAUUUGAAAAUCUGCAAAAACUCCAGAGCUAUAGUUAAUCGAAGAACAAGAGACAUGGCGCUUGAUUAGACCGUUCUAUCUUUUAACUGCUCAAGACACAAGUGACGGUUGCAAGCCCCAUGGUGGAAGGUAAAAUGAGUAAGUUUAAAUCUUAACAGUUUACCCUAACCCAAAGAUGAGAUCUUGUUUGAACGCAUAUGUACCUUUAAGGCAUGAAACCACUGUAGAAUUCUUGAGUUCAUCUUUGCUCAGGGACGAGCAAAGGUUAAGCUUGGGGGAGCUUGUUGACGGUCCUUAAUGCUCACAUUUAACCGUCAACUAAUCAUGGAAAAGGAUCCAAAUGCAACCAACAACCAGACUUAGGGUUUUAUCUGACAGGAUUCCACGAGUUUUGGUGUUUGUCUAUUUCUGCAGGGGUUAUCAGGAAAUAUGAAAGAAAGGCCCACAUGUCAGGUUUACAUAGAGAUAUUAACGUGCCGUGCAAUUUUCUAUCAUCUAGAGGACUCCAGAAGCCAUGGGAACGAACGGGAAGCCGAGAGGGCUCAGGGACAGGGCGCCCGCCCUACUCCUUAGGGCGCCUGCCCACCUUUUUCCACUAAUCACGAUCAACUUUGCGGAUCGUGCUCCACCGACCUAAGGGAUCAAGGAAAACCGUGCGAUUGAUGUCGGUUUGAUCCGACGGCCCAGAUUCAUCUGAAAAGACUAUAUAAGCAAGGCCCCCUGGCCUCUGGAGAUCAUACCUCUUCUACAGAAUCAAAGCUAGGGUUUCAAUUAUUCAUCCAAGUAGAGAGGAUCCCUUUAGUUCAUCUAGUUCUAGCUCUAGUUCAUCUAGUUCUAGUUCUAGUUCAUCUAGUUCUAGUUCUAGUUCCUCUAGUUCUAGUUCUAGUUAGUUCUAGUUGUAAUCUAGAAAAUAGGGAGAGAGAAGAGGAGAGCAGAGGAGGAGCCGGAUCUGUUGGAUCUUCCUCAACAUUAUACUUUUGCUGUAACUGGUUCGUUCUUCAUCGUUCUCCAAGUUCUUCAAUUCAUAAUUCAUGAGUUAUUUAAUUACUUUUAUUUACAUUCAAGUUAUUUAUUGUAUUCCCGCUUGCAUCAAGUGCUCUAGUCUUUAUAACGCUAGAGUAGUAAUUAAUAGAUUAGACGUGGUGUUUAGUCUUGCAGUUACCUGAAAUUGCACCCAAUCCUGCGGAUUGUUGUGGUAGCCCUAGGGUAGUGACAGCCCUAACGGUCGACGUAUUCCACCUCGUUCGGAUCGGUGUUUGUAGGACCGUAGUUAGAGCUUCCUAGCCCCCUUCUCAUCUCUUUCUGUGGUUAGUGUUCUGAUGUCCCGAAAUAAAUAAUCUUUGAAGUAAUUCUUGAUUCUUAGAUCAACUAGAGAACUCUUAGGAAACUUCCUCUCUUCCUACCAAAAAUAAUUAUAUAGUUAUCCUUGGGAGAUCUUGAAUCUUAAUUAGUACACUCACGUUCCCUGUGGAAAAUCGAUACUCUGGAAUACUCCCGGGUGAAAGCUACAUCGGUAUCCGUGCGCUUGCAGAUUUUUCUGUUUGCAUUUAAAAUACCCAACAGUACGUUAUUCAAGGUAAAUGGUCAACGCCUUAAAUUAUUUUUAGAGCCCAACAAUGAAUUAGAGGAAGUAGACAUAAUCACUUUCUUUCUCAAUUAGAAUAUUUGGGACCAACCAUUUUAUUUUUGAAUUAUCAAGGAAAAUCAACUUUUUCUGCAUAAAAAAUUAAUUAAUAAAGUAUACAAAAAAGUGGAGGCAGAGGAGGCUCAAAGGGCGGGCGGUCGCCCAAAACCCUUGGGGUGCCCGCCCCUCCCCUUAGGGCAUUCGCCGCCUCCUUUCUCCAUUUACAUCCUGAGACCUUCCUUGUUUAUAAAAAGUAUAUCUUUGGAAAUUUUUCCCAUCUUUUGUCUGGAUACCUUCCAAAAAUACUUUUCCAGACCCCUAUAUAAGCAACCCAUGCCUAUGGUCUAAUCUCAUCCCAUCAUAGCUUUUCUCUCCUCUUGCUUAGAAGCUAGCUACGCCUCUCUACUCAAUAAUGGCUAAAGAAAAUUCAGAGAAGAGAAUGAUUUCCUAUGGGAUCGAUCUCAACACCAUCCCCAUAGAAGAACCUGAGUGCAAAGCUAUCAUUCCUAUAGAUGAACCUAUCCCGCUAGCCACCAUUCCACCACAACCGCACUGCUAUGAACGUCUUAUUAUGCUCAGCCAUUCGCACCAAGCCUCUCCUCUUGGAAGGAGCUCCGCCGAAGGGGCCCGUCGUUGCUUUACUGGUAGAGACUAACAUCCUACCACCAAAGCACAAUGAAGAGCUAUUAGGAGUGAAGACCAACAGGAAGGGGGAGGUUGUCUACGCCAAAUACACAAUCAGAGAUCGUACCUACUUUGAGGGGGUUCGUGCUCAUCCGACGAAGGUCAAAUUUAUCCCCCCAAAGGAAGCCCCAAAGUCCACCAUGGUUGCAUCCAAGACUCCAUGAAAACGCUGCAAGACGAUGGCAGACUUGGAAAAGGAGUUAGCUGAACAACGCGAAAUAAUAGCCUCACUAGAAGCCUAACAGCAUGUCCAAAGUAGAUGCAUCGCCCACAAUGAUAAGCGGGUGCUAGCACUGGAGCAUAACUCCACCGCUAUGAUUUAGAGAGUGAAAGCUUUAGAACACCCUAAGAAGUAGGGUCGAUUCAUCUUCGCAUCUGAUAGAGCAAGUGUGAGUUAUAUUAAAGUUUGUUUAAUUUUAAGUUUGAAGUUGUAAUAAUAAGCCCUACAUGAGGACGAUUAAAAUGAUUAUUAUUAGAUAUGGCUUAUCUCUCUUUUGUCUCUCUCUUUUGUCUCCACCAUGUUGUGAAUGAAGAAUAACAGGAAACCAGUGGGGGGGAGACACCCGACGAUCAAAACGAACGAAUUCUCGCGAAACGAUAAAAAUAUUGGAGAAGACAUGACACGAAGACCGCACUCGAUGAAGCUGACCUUGAAGGGCCACUAGCUAGGGGCGGCCACCCAACCCCCUUUGGGCGCCCGCCCAAGGGGUGGGGCCAUCUUGUUCUCGCUUCAAACCAUGGUCAGGUAUGAUUUCUUUAUGUUAUAAAUUGUUAUUAUCACUGUUAUUUUGAUUCAGAAUAAAAUAUCUCUAGUUAAACCACCCUAUACAUAAAUAUUUAGAAGAUAUUUUUAUUCAUGACCACAAGAUAGACUUACACCAUGAUAAUUCUUGGAAAUUCCAGUUGUUGUUGGGAACUUUAAUAUAGGGACACCAUAUCACUUAAGUUGUUGUGGAAAGAGAGAUAGUAUAAAUAUGAGAACUUGAUUUCUGAUGCCUAGUCAUUUAGUGAAUUUUACUUUCAAAACUCUUAAAACUACUAGCUAUACUUCUCCUCUAUAGCAAGAAUUAAUAUCCUAAUAGAGCCAUGCAUGAUAGAUAUAAACUAGCUCAUAAGUUAAUUGCUUUGUAUUGAGUUUUGUCAAACCUUGUUGACCUGUGUCGAGAGUAUUAUCAUGCUCCUAAGAUCAAGAUCACAUAAACCCACAUAUAUCUGUUGUUCCUACACUGGGAAUGUGCACAAACAUGCCUUUCCAUCCACAAAAAUAUUUUACUCCUACACUAGGAGAAAACACAAACAAAAUCUUGGUAGGAAUAAUUGCUCUAAGUUCUUUAAAGUCUUUCUCAAUAUUUCCUGGUUACAGAAGGGAGGAAUGUGGCUAUGCAAAUUAAAAAGUAUUAAAAAAAGAGAGAAAGAGGAAAAAGGACAAGUGUCCUAGAAAGAAAGAGAAUAAAAGAUAGCCCAUACCAUCCUGUGCAAAGACCAUCAAUGCUUUAGAGAAAGAAAGACAUUUUGAAAAGAGCAAUGUAGAAUUAGGAUUAGCCAUUAUAUAUAUUCCACACAAAUGCACUUCUUGAUCUAAGAGUAUGUUAUUCCCCUCCAUGGAUCUGAGUUUUGACUUAGCAAUAUAUGCAAGGUAAGUAUGCUAUUUCCUUGAAUUACCUUCAACUCCAUAUAAGCCUGUAUAGAGUAGGAUACAUAUGAGGCAUAUAUCAUACAUGCCUUGGUGAGUUCUACAAAUACCACCUACAAUGAGUGAUUCGAGUAUGCUACAUGAUGGAUGUUGACGGUCCUUAAGUAUCAAAUUUAAUUAUUAAAAUAAUAAAGAAAAGGAUCCAAAUGAAAUCAAGAUCCAGACUUAGGGUUUUAUCUGACAGAAUUCCACGAGUUUUGGUGUUUGUCUAUUUCUGCAGGGGGUUAUCAGGAAAUAUGGAAGAAAGGCCCACAUGUCAGGAUUACGUAAAGAUAUUAACGUGCUGCGCAAUUAUCUUACAUCUAGAAGACUCCAGAAGCCACGAGACCGAAGCGGAGGCGAAACGGGGCCUGACCCUGGGCGGCCGCCCAGUUGGUCAGGGCGCCCGCCCUGCCCCUGAGUCCAAUUAGGACUCUGCUUUGCGGGAGAUCUCCACCGAACUAAAGGAUGAAUCUAAACCAUACAAUCUAUGUCGGUUUGAUCCAAGGGCCCAUAUUCACUUGGAGGGACUAUAAAACCAGACCCCCUGGCCCCUGGAGGAGAGAGCCUCUCAACCCUAAUUCAUUGUUCCAUCAAGGGAGAAGAAGCCUCUGAUCAAGAUUAGAGCCACCACAUCAAUUAGAUAUCUAGAUUAGCAUAGCUACAUAGGAUUAGAACUAGAAGGAGUCAAUCUUCGAUUGGUUUCCGGAUCUGUCAGGAGGAUUCUUGGUAAUUCUCUAAUUGUGUUUCUAAUUACUUUCUAAUUAUCUUUGUUCUUCAAUAUUAUGAAUAUGACUUUGUUCUACUUCAAUAUAUUGCUUAUGACUUUGCUCUACUUGCUUAUAUUCAAGAUUAUAUUGUUCUUAGUUUAUCAUAGUUAUGUACUUGGCUUAGUUAGAUUUGAUCUAUAUACAUGCUUAGGAUCGUAUAGUGUUUAUCCAUCGGAUCCAUGGGUAAAUGACAGAUAUUGUGUAGGCGUGGUGCUUAUACCGUAUUUAUCUGCGAUUGUACCCAAUAUGCCAGAUCGUGGGGUGGUUCGUGAUAGUGACAGCUUCAUUGAUUCUUAUAUAGUCCCCCUCUCGUGUAUUGGGCUGGCAGAGCAACAUUAUUACAGGGGAGUGAUUGCUAUGUUUCUCAUAUUCCUUGCUAAUAUCACUAUGCAUGGGCGUAGUCUUGUCUCGCAAUGAUUGCUAAGUAUGCUUGCACUAACUAUGAUAAUGCUAAACUAUAUAGUUGAGAAUAACUUAGGGAAUAUUCUUGUAGUUCGUUCUAAUACCAUGCUAAUGACUUUCUAGAGUAUCUAAUUGAGGUGCUUAUCAUAUUUAUUAUGUGGCUAGAUCAGAUUAGUUAUCCUUGUCACUAUUAUUAUUUCAUAUAUCUUUUAUGUGACACUUAUCACUGUAUGAAGAGUUAGAUAUAAUGUUCUCAAUUAUACAUGCAAUGAUAGAUGCUCAAUCUUAUAUUCUAUUCUGUAAUCAUUAGUGAUGAUUUCUAAUCCCUUCCCAGUGGUAAAAAUAUAAAUAACGAUACCUGGAAUACUUCCCGGUUAAAAUGCUACAUCGGUAUUAAUCUGUGCGCUUGCAGAUCCCAUUCAUUAUUUAUUUAGAAGAGCAAUUGCAUAUUUCAAUACCGCGUCUCUCAUGUCAUGCUGGGGAUGACAACUUGGCUUAAGUGGUGUGAGGGAUAGGUUUGGCAUUUUUGGCACCGUUACUAGAUUUAGAGAACUUAGUCUACUUUUGGUAAUGAUGUUAAGAAUACCCAACAAUGGAGAAGGGUAAGCUAAAUUUUUCUUUGUAAAAAUAUUAUAAAACUCUAUGUGACAGGGCUGAAGGAAAAGAGAAUUCUAUUUUGUACUGUUCCAUCCUCAACUUCUCAAAGUUUUGUGGUAGACACUUUGAAUCCCGUAGUAUAGGUAUGACUUGGAAUAAAUCUAUUGGUGAUGUCUUGGUUUGAGGUUAUUUUUAAAAUGAUCUAUCCUUUUUCCUUGAGGACGAGUAAAAGACAAGUGUAGGGGAGUUUGUUGAUGGUAGAUAACUCCUAAUUUUAACCGUCAACUAAACAUGAAAAUGGACCUAUUUGCAAGCACUUAGUAGAUAUAGGGUUAUCACUAAUAGAAUUCCACGAGUUCUGGUGAAUGUCUAUUUCUGCAGGGGGUUAUUGAAAUAAUAACAAAAGGAGGUCCACAUGUCAGAUUUACAUAGAGAGAAGACUCGAACGUCAACUCUAGAAUACUCUAGAAGACUCAGGAAGACACCACCUAAAAGGUAGGGCCCACUUGCCAUAGGGCAGGGGCGCUGUAAGGGGUGGCCGCCCGGGGGCAAGAGCCAAUCAUCUUCCACCUUGCGGAUCCUGCCUCCACCACCUUUGAGGAGUAAUCUUGAGCGCACAUUUAAGUCGGUUUGAUCCGAGGGCUGUGGUGCUUCCUAGGGGGCUAUAAAUAUGACCCUGACCCCACCUCUAGAAAUCAAUUCUGAAACCCUAAUUCAUAUUUUCUAGAGAGAAUUAGAUAGAGAGGGGUCCUGGAAUGGAUCUGUCUCUAUAGGGUUAUAGCAACAAGAGAAAUUGAGAGAGUAUAGGGUGAAGAUAGAAGUUGAGGAAGCUCGGCCUGUCGGUGUCUUCUUCUUUGUAUCUUCGGGACCAAGUCUCCUAACCUGAGGCUUGGUUCUAGAAUCGUUCAACAAUUUGACUUCUAAUACUCGUAAGUUAUUGUUCUUUGGUUUACGAGUUUACUUUAUUCGCUUCGCGUAGGGAAUAGAGUAAUUAUUCGUAGCGUAAGCAUGGUGCUUGGGCUAGGAAUACUCGUAGAUACUCCAUGUUUGGCCGGAUUUGUGGUAGCAUUGGAGGGAAGUGACAAUCCUUUUGUGUCUCUGUAAUCCACGUCCCGUUAGGAGAUAUAUGGUGCUAGAGUUAAGCACUUUAUGAGGUGUCUCUUUUCUCUAGGUACUUCCCUUAGAACAAUAUUUACACACUUAUCAUAGGUUAGAGGAACACUGAAGAAAGAGUUCUCUCUAUAUCACUCAUAUCUCACUAUCUUGUCUUGCAGCCCAUGGGUAGUAGGUAAGAUAAGGUUAGUCUUUUGCACGCUUUCUCCUAGUGGUAAAAAAAAUUAAUGUGAUACUCUGGACUUAUCUCCCGGGUAAAGUACUCACCGAUAUCCGUACGCUUACGAAUUAUUUCUGUUUGAUUCUUUCGUGUGUGUAACUAAUAUCAACAGCAAGGUGUCCUAAAUUUGUUUUGCCACAUCAACAUUCAUCACUCUAUUGUACUCAUUUUCAUCUAGAGCACUAAGAAAAAUACUUGUGGCUUGCCUGUUGAGAUGGACAACAGCUAGCUCUUCAUUUGUUGGCUCUUCAGGGUUCUCCGGUAGUUGAAAUCUACUGCACACAAUUUCCCCAAGACCACAGUGAAGACCAUUAAGAUAAGCCCUCAUCAAGUGCUUCCACUUGGCAAAGUUUGUCCCAUAGAAAUGAGGUAAUUUGCCCACGGGCACAUUGAUAAAAGACUUUUAGUCAUGGUUAGUCAAGUAAGAAUAAUUAAAGGAUACGGCUGCAUGUUUCUUUUUGGUGCUGCUGCCUUUGUCCUUGCUUCCCUUCUUCUCCUUCUCUUGCUCUUCUCAUUUCCCUUGGAAACAUAAUAUGAUGCAUCAUCAUCAUCAUCAUCCGAGCUGCUAGAUAGCUCACUAGAUGAAGCAUCAUAUGCCUUCUUUUCUUCUUGCUUUGUUCUUGCUGCCCUUCUCUUGGCUCUUUCUUCACGUAUGUGUCUUCUUUCUUCUUUUCUUUUUAGCUUCUCAUCAUGCUUUUGUUGUUCUUCUUUUGCUUUUCUUUUUGUCUCUCUUCUCGCUCUUCUUUCCUUCUUUAUUUCCACAUCGGUGGUCUUGUCAUUCUUGAGAGUGGUGUUGCUUGCUGUCGAGAGUGACAUAUCAUUGUUGCUGCUAGCAUCUUUGAAAAGCACACCACCAUCUUUUGGCUCACGAGUGAUUCUUGAAUCUCCUUCGACUUUCAUACUUCACGCGGUGAAGCGUAUCUGAAGUAACCAGGCUUUGAUACCACUUCUAGGAUCUCCUGGAAGGUAAAGGAGGCCUAGAGGGGAGGGGUGAAUAGGAAAAAUUUAACUCGAAGCUCUGUUAGAAUAGAGGGCGGCACUAUCGGCCUUCAACAAAACCGCAGAAAGUAAAGAGACUUUGCGGAAAGUAAGCUGAUAUUGUAAAUUCCACAAUCCUGCAAAAUGAAUCCAAGAUCUAGUGUGAAGACUGGAUACCACAGAAAUGUCUCACAAAACUAGAUUGAGCCACCAAACCCUAGAAAGGGUGAAACACAAGAGAUAAUCUACAAUAAGCACACAAGACUCAGUGAUUUAUAUCGUGGUUCAGCUCACCACCAAGGUUUGCCUAUGUCCACGUUGUUGAGAAAGCCACCAAAGGCUUAGGCUUGCCACAAAGGCUUACCCUACCCUCGUUCUCAAAUCAAGAGAGUCAACUCUUGAGGUGAGGGAUAAUUUCUUAGCUGCAAGACUAAGGUUACAAACCUCCCAAGGCUGCUACACAAGGGGGCAAGCUCAAGGGCGACGCCUAGCCGGCUAGGAGCAAGCUCCAAGAGUAACAAACCUUAAAACCGUCGGCCAAACGUGAACCAAAUACUCUUAGACUUUGGGAAUCAAUGGAUCUACUCUCCAAUCAAGUUUUGCUGUUGUUGGGUAUUCUUAACAUCAUUACCAAAAGUAGACUUAGUUUUCUAAUUCUGAUAACGGUGCCAAAAAUGCCAAACCUAUCCCUCACACCACUUAAGCCAAGUUGUCAUCCCCAGCAUGACAUGAGAGACGCGAUAUUGAAAUAUGCAAUUGCCCUUCUAAAUAAAUAAUGAAUGGGAUCUGCAAGCGUACAGAUUAAUACCGAUGUAGCAUUUUAACCAGGAAGUAUUCCAGGUAUCGUUAUUUAUAUUUUUACCACUGGGAAGGGAUUAGCAACCAUCAAUAUUGAUUAUAGAAUGGAAUAUAAGAUUGAGCAUCUAUCAUUGCAUGUAUAAUUGAGAACAUUUAUCUAACUCUUUCAUACAGGGAUAAGUGUCACAUGAAAGAUAUAUGAAGUAAUGAAUAGUAACAAAGAUAAUUAAUCUGAUCAGCAUAACUUAGCCACAUAUAAAUAUGAUAAGCACCUCAAUUAGAUAUUCUAGAAAGUCAUUAGCAUGGUAUUAGAACGAACUAGAAGAAUAUUUCCUAAGUUAUUCUCAACUAUAUAGUCUAGCAUUAUCAUAGUUAGUGCAAGCAUACUUAGCAAUCAUUGUGAGACAAGACUACGCCCAUGCAUAGUGAUAUUAGCAAGGUAAAUGAGAAACAUAGCAAUCACUCCCCUGUAAUAAUGUUGCUCUGCCAGCCCAAUACACGAGAGGGAGACUAUAUAAGAAUCAAUGAAGCUGUCACUAUCACGAACUACCCCACGAUCUGGCAUAUUGGGUACAAUCGCAGAUAAAUACGGUAUAAGCACCACGCCUACACAAUAUCUAUCAUUUACCCAUAGAUCCGAUGGAUAAACGCUAUAUGAUCCUAAACAUGUAUAUAGAUCCAAUCUAACUAAGCCAAGUAUAUAACUAUGAUAGACUAAGAACAAUAUAAUCUUGAAUAUAAACAAGUAGAGCAAAGUCAUAAGCAAUAUAUUGAAGUAGAACAAAGUCAUAUUCAUAAUAUCGAAGAACAAAUAUGAUUAGAAGAACAAUUAGAAGAACAAUUAGAGAAUUACCAAGAAUCCUCUUGACAGAUUCGGAAACCAAUCGAAGAUUGACUCCUUCUAGUUCUAAUCUAUGUAGCUAUGCUAAUCUAGAUGUCUAAUUGAUGUGGUGGCUCUAAUCUUGAUCAGAGGCUUCUUCUCCCUUAAGGAAUAAUGAAUUAGGGUUGAGAGGCUCUCUCCUCUAGGGGCCAGGGGGUCUAGUUUUAUAGUCCCUUCAAGUGAAUAUGGGCCAUUGGAUCAAACCGACAUUGAUUGAACGGUUAUCCUUGAUCCUUUAGGUCGGUGGAGAUUGAUCCCGAAAGAGAGUCCUGAUCCAACUCUGCAGGGGGGCGGGCGCCCAGGUCAACUGGGCGGGCGCCCAGUGCUUGGCCCCUUCGGCCUCCGCUUCCUUCCCGUGGCUUCUGGAGUCUUCUAGAUGUAAGAUAAUUGCGCGGCACGUUGAUAUCUCUAUGUAAUCCCGACGUGUGGGCCUUUCUUCCGUAUUUCCUGAUAACCCCCUGCAGAAAUAGACAAACACCAAAACUCGUGGAAUUCUGUCAGAUAAAACCCUAAGUCUGGAUGUUGAUUUCAUUUGGAUCCUUUUCUUUGUUUAUUUGAUAAUUAAAUUUGAUACUUAAGGACUGUCAACAGCUGCCUUUUCUCUCAAGGAUUGAUGGUGGGAAUCCAAGAUUUGCUUGAGGGGUGAAGGAGCAACAAUGGAGGGAGAGAGAGAGCUCUGGCUAUCUGAACUCGAUAUGUGUCGACUGAGGUAGAUGAUGACCAUUGUGGGAUAAGUCUAGAGGUAUAGGUACCCCCUGGGUCCCAACGGCCAGAAAUGGGCGGCAUUGCAGCCCUGGUCAAACCAUGUAUUAUGUCAAACUGUUUUGCAGGCUGCUUUGGGUGUGAAAGGGGAUGUUGAUCUAGGAAGAUGAGCAUCUAGUUGCACAGUUGACCAACUAUUCUAUAAUUCUCUUUAUAGUACGAAUUUUGCUAAACUCAAUAAUAAAAAUUAAUAUAAACAAAUAGCUUCCUUCAGUUUGGAUCAACUCACAUUCACACUUUUGGAUACCUACAACCUGUUCAUCAUUCUCAAUAUUGAUUCCCUGCUUAUUAUCUCGAUAAAUCUCAUUAGCCCUCUAAUUUGAUGGUCAUUAACACCAAAACCCACAAUAGGGCUUGAUUGCACUUACAAUAGCAACAUUAGUAUUCAUAUAAUUCAUGUUCUUGAUUAUAAGAUUCAAUAUCUACUUUACUGAUAUAUAUAGUAGAAUGAUUUUAUUAUUGUAUUUAUGCAUAAGAUUGUAAAACACUUACCUUAAAGUACACGAGGUAAGUGGUAUGCAUUAUGUAAGCGUGGUGCUUAGAUAUUAUGUAUCUGCAGAUGCACUCUAUAUAUCGGGUUCUGAGGUAGUUUAUAGGUGUGACGGACCUAUUGAGUCCUCUAUAGUCCUUUCCCCUUAUAUAGAACAAGUAGGGCUCGUGUCGCAAUGGUUGUGCGGACUCUAUUUCUAAACUUAUUGUUGAUGUUCCUUAUGUGUAGAUGGGAUAGUAAAUCUUAACAAUGAUUACUAUAUGUUCUUGCACUAAUUGAAGUAUGUAUUGAUAGUAGUUAUAGAAUGACUUAUGAGUUAUUCUUUUAAUAGUCUAGUUGGACUAAGGCUAUUGCUAUAGAUAGAGUGCUAUCCGUUAUGAUGCUUGAUCCGUACUUAUUAUUUAUAUAUAUCUUUUAUCAUGUGACUUACCACUGUUAUGAGUAGUGUAUAAUAUUAAUUAAAUCUCUCAUACAUAAAGUACAAUUAUCAAUAUUAUAUAUUCAUGCAUAGUUAUAGCUUCAAAGUGGUAAAACUAUAAAUCAACAACUGGUAAUAAACUAAAUAAAAUUCAAUGGUAUACUUAUCUAUACGUAUUUAUAGUACGGAUAGUAAUCUUUGUGAGUAGAUAGAUAAUUGCUUUAAAAUCCUUUUAGGUGUAGAAAUUCUAUUAAAAAAUUAGGUUUGGAAGUACCAAAGAAAAUUACUCUAUCAAAAAGUCAGGUUUGGAAGUACCGAAGAAUCUACGGUUGAGGAAGAUGUGUGCCUAUGAGUUCGGCUGCAUAUGUUGGCUGUCUCGAUGACGCAGCACAAAUAUGACCACAGAGUGGCUGCCACGGUGGAUCCCGAGACCCGCGGCCAUCACCGCCCCCACCUGCUCCGCGUCCUCCGAUUCCCACCCGCACCCCACCACCACCACGCCGGAGAAGAAACCCGUAAGAAACGGGGGAAAAAUAAUUAGGAAAAUAAAUUUCAAAUCAAAGUCUCCUACACCCAGCGACGAAAACUCUGCGACAAUUCAAAUCAAAUCCAUCCGUGUCGAAUCGUGCCAGCGCAAACCCCGCGGCCGAUCCCCUGUGCUCUCGCCGCCCGCCUCCCCCGAUUCUGCAGCCUCUCGCUGCGAAUCUGGGCGCGAUUUCGAGGCUAGGGUUUGGGAGGCUCCGGAUCGCAGGGCCGUGCGGAGGCAAGGGUUUGGAUUCGGAGGUUGCUGCUGCGGGUCGGGGGUGCUGGAUUGAGCUACUCCGCGCCGGCUUGUGAUGGUGGUGAGCGGCGGUGGAAGACGAGUUGACGUCGGCGGCGGUGGCGGCGGUGGUGAGUAGGGUUUGUUGAUUGAGUUGGGGCCGAGGGCGCGCCGGCCAUGGUGCGGCUUCUCGGGCUGCGGAGCCUGAGCUUCGGGCCGGAGGAGUCGCCGCGGGAGAUCCCCUCCACCGCCGACGCGGCCCCGCCUGUUGGCAGCAGUGGCUGGCUCGUGCGCUUCUUCGACUCCGCCUUCUUCUGCGAGUGGAUCGCCGUCAGCUACCUCUACAAGCACGACCAUGCCGGAGUGCGGGACUACCUCUGCAACCGCAUGUACACGCUCCCUCUGCCGGGGCUCGAGGCCUACCUCUUCCAGGUCUGCUACAUGCUCGUCCACAAGCCCAGCCCUUCCCUUGACCGCUUCGUCAUCGACACCUGCGCCAAGUCGCUCCGCAUCGCGCUCAAGGUGCACUGGCUCCUUGCUGCAGAGCUUGAGCUGGAGGAUGCUGACGAUCUGGAUGGGAUCGACAAGGUGCAGGAGCAGUGCCAGGUUGCAGCGACCGUGCAGGGCGAGUGGCCACCUCUGGUCCGGCCUGCUCCUCCAUCCCCUGCUGCCAGUCCGCGAGGUAACCCCAUGCUCAGCAGAAUACGAUCGUCCAAGCAGCGGCUAUUGUCCCUCGCAUCAUCGCCGUCACUUGGACUGAGCCCCCCUGCUGGUGGUGGGGUCAAUGUUGCCGAGGAUGCUAUGGGUACUGGAGGGAAGCAGCCAGCCACACCCUCAUCAGAGGAUAACAAGUUGCUUAAGAGACUGAGCAUUGGUCCAAAAAUGCGCGAUGCAUUGCUCUUCAGACGAUCAGGAGAGAAGGAUGAAGAACAAGACCGGGAUGGGUUUUUUAAGAGGCUUCUUAGGGACAGCAGAGACAAGGAUGAUGAUGAUGGGGACAGAGAAGGAUUUUUCAAAAGGUUACUUAAGGAUAGCAGGGAGAAGGAUAAUGAGGAGGAAGAAGGUGAUAGAGAUGGUUUCUUCCGCAGAUUGCUCAGGGAUAGCAAGGAGGAGGACAUGGAACUGACACCAAGCUCAGAUGGUCUGUUGAAGAGACUCUUCCGUGAUAAGGAGGACAAGCAAGGUGAGGAUGAUGAGAAGGAAGGGUUUUUUCGCAGGAUGUUCAAGGAUAAGAAUGAGGAGAGGAGAGAUAGCAUCCAUGCAAGACAUGGGGAUGAGGAAAGAGUGGGCAAGAGUGUGGAAGAUGAUGACAAAGAAGGUUUCUUCCGCAAAAUUUUCAAAGAUAAGAAUGAGGAGAGGAAAGAUGAAGGGCAUCAAAAGCCGGAUGAGAGGGAAAAGGUUGGUGCGAAUAUAGAAGAGGAUAAGAGAGAUGGGUUUUUCAGGCAACUCUUUAAGGAUAAAAAUGAUGAGAAAAAGGAAGGCAGCACACCAAGCAAGAAAGAGGAAGAUGAUAGAGGCCAUAGAAAUGCUGAUGAUGAUAAUUUCUUCCGCAGGCUUUUCAAGGAUAAGAAUGAAGAAAAGAAAGGGAUCGCUCAUGACAGGAAUGAAGAUGACAAGUGUGAGGAAGGUGAUAAAGAAAACUUCUUCCGCAAAUUUUUUAAGGAUAAGAAUGAGGAGAGGAGAACUGAGGGGCCUGAUAAAAAUGAUGAUGAUGGUAAGGGUACUAGUGGUAUCGAAGAGGAGGAUAAUCCAGAGUUUUUGUCAUUCCGUAGGUUGUUUAGAGUGCACCCAGAAGAUUCUAAGAGUGGGGUCAUAGAAAGCAGUCAAUCUAACAAUCUUUCUGAGGGGAGCCCAGGAUCAGAAAGCUUUUUUAAGAGGCUAUUCCGUGAUAGAGACCGCUCACUUGAAGACUCUGAGAUUUUCGGCUCAAAAAUAGCAAAAGAGGCAAGGAUCUGGUCUCAUAUUAUUUUUCAGCUUGAUAGCUCCUGUGUUCAUGUUAUAGUAGUAUAUUAUGCCAGUUUUUAUAUCUUGUUUUAUUUACAGUGGUUUCCUUUUGCAUCUGUACUCAUCCUCCUAAUUGUGGUGAUAUGCGUUGCAGAAACACCCUGGUAGCACAGGAAUCAAUGAGAAGCAAAGUGGAAAACCACCAUUACCAAUUAAUGCAGUAGCAGAGCUUCGAAAAGGUUCUUACUAUGCUUCGUUGGAACUUGUUCAGGCUUUAUGUGAUACAUCUUAUGGCCUGGUAGAUAUAUUUCCUAUUGAGGAUCGUAAGAUUGCCCUCCGGGAGGUAGGUCAAACACAUACCAUGUAACUACAUGGCUAUUCAUUUCACAACCUUUCAGUGAUCCUGUGCCAGUUAUUGUAAUCUCUUUGGACUUUGCACAUUCUAACUUGUACCCUGCAAUGAUAUCUUCUUUUAUGUGGCAGUCUCUUACAGAGAUCAAUAGUCAGAUUGCUUCUGCCGAAAAAAAUGGAGGUUAUUUCUGCUAUCUUAUUCAGGAUAUCUCCUGAGUUCUUUGCAUUUUGUUCACUGUAUACACUUUUGUUAAGCCUUUGGAUAUUUGAAUUUUUUUGGAUUGCAUUACUGGUAAUAUUACAUUAGCAUCUUCCAUUGUAAGUUACAGGAUGUACAUUUAUAUUUUUUUGCCUUGUCCAUUUGUGUCUGAGGUUUGUAUAGUUCUGUUUAUUAUAUGUGAAAUGUUUUUGAUGGGCAGUCUUUAAAAAAUAGUUUCAGUAAUCUGCAUACAGAUUACUUGAAUAGCCUUUUUGAUAGAACUUGGUCUGUUAUAUUUUUUUUCGUGCAUCAGUUGCCAUUACCAUUUUAAGCACAGUAUUUAGUUUUUUUGGGUCUGCUGAACAGUGAGCACCUAGCUAAUUUACAGAUUGUGGCGGUACUGAAUAAAAUGCAUAAGGCAUCAGAGCAAUAUGCCUAGCCAUUGCUUUGUGUUAAAGAACAGCACUCUCUUCUUGUGACUCGAAGCUCUGAGCCAAUUUGUUCUUUUUUAGGUUUAUUUACAUACCAUAGCAUUGGGCUAAUGCUCCAUUAAUAUCUACAUAUUGCAAAGCACCAGCUAGAAUAACCUCAUAAUAUUUUCUUUAUUCUUCUGUGUGUAGGAGUAUGCUUUCCGAUGGGAAAGGGCAUAUAUCGAGUGGUUCAUAUACCUGAAGAUGAGUCUGUUCUUCUGAAUUCUAGGGAGAAAGCUCCUUACCUUAUAUGUGUUGAAGUUUUAAAAGCAGAAGCUCCUAGGUAUGCUGGUUUUUUGGAUGUUCAAUGAAAAUGAUGAGUCUUUCAUAAACCUGGUCAGGCUUGUUGUUAUACUAAUUUUUAUUUGUAUAUAUGAGGCUAAAGAUACAUAGCUCACAACUGGAGUUUCUGUUGAAAAUUUUGUAUUUGAUAAACAAUGAAAUGGUGGUCUUUGUCACUUUGUUACUGGAAGGGAUCCUCUGAUGCAUCUGCAACCUGACAUGGUCACAGACAUGCGGGCCAGCUGGGCGUAGGACCCACCUGCCAGUGACCAUGUUAUGAUGUGGAGUUAUGUCAGGGGUACCGUUUCCCCAAUCAGAUGUCAUUCUGGUAACACCUCUCAUUUUCUGUCCAGCCACUCUAAAGGAUCAUCCGAUGGGCACAAAUUAUCAAAAGGUGGGAUACCAUUGGCUAAUGGAGAUGUGCAACUACCAAAACCACCACCAUGGGCUUAUCCUUUGUGGAGCAGGCACGACACACAAAACUAUGAAACAGACAGAAUGCUGAAGUCUACUUCUCAGGUUAUUGACCAAGCAAUGGCUCAACUCUGGGAGACAAAAGUAAAAUUUGUAAAUGUUAGUUUCUCUAUUGAGAAACUUGGUCGCUCAAGGAGCAUUGCACUUUCUGAAACGGGGCGUAGGCUGCGACAUGAUGCUAUAGAUUCUCAUGAGCCACCUGGAGAUUCGCAAACAGUUGCUGAUCAGCCUAUUGAAUGGGUGAAGGUUACAUUGUCUGCAGUUCCAGGAGUUAACAUGGAAGAUGUAGAUGAUAAUGAACCAACACGAAAGAAGGACCAUCGCCGCAUUCCUAGUACAAUUGCCAUUGAGGAAGUAAAGGUGAGACAGACAUUUGAAUUUCUUUCAUUAGUGUUAAGUCUUACACUUCUUGUACUGCUAAUUUUGUUUUCCUGUUUCUUCUCUAACAAAUACUUCCACGUCCACAACUUGCACUUGUCCUAACAUUCUCCUUUGAUGAGUUACCUUAUUUGCACCCCACUGGUUGUGUUAUUGCUUUUAGAAACAAGCAACCUUGGAGCAUAAUGAGAUUGCAUGCAGCGAUGGCACCCAACUUACUGUUUGGUUACCUUUUAUGCUAAUAUUUGUUUUUGCUGGGUUAGGCUGCAGCAUUAAAAGGAGAAGCUCCACCUGGUCUUCCUCUAAAAGGAGUUGGGCAGAGCACCCAAAAUUUAGAUCCUAAGGUGAAUCCCUUGUAUUCUACUCCCUCUGUUCCAAAUUAUAAGUUGCUUUGACUUUUUUGUACAUAGAUUUUGCUAUGUAUCUAGAUAUACGUUAUAUCUAGAUACAUAGUGAAAUUGAUGUACUAAAAAAGUCAAAGUGACAUAAUUUGGAACAAAGGGAGUAGUUUCUUUUUGACCAAGACAAGAAGUCAAUAGCUCACAAUUUCCUUUUCCUGAAGGCUACUGAUGGUGGGGAUCCAAAACCAACCGAUGCUUUGGCUGGUGAGCUUUGGGCUGUCAAACGAGAGAGAAUUCGACGGUCUUCGGUUCAUGGAAAAUCACCUGGCUGGGACUUGCGCUCUGUAAGUCAAAUUUUGUUUUAUUAUUAGAUUUACUUUAUUACUAUUCUUAUAGACCCUUUACAUUCGUGGAUAGACCCAUGGAGGCUAUUUAUGUACACGAUUAUUACUUCGUUUGUUGGGCUUCUAAACAAAUGUUUGCCUCCAAUAUGGCAAAUGCUGUUUGCUAAUCUUCAUUAGAUAUAGACGCUGUACAAAAUUGUAUCAUAUUAUAGUUGAUUUUGUAAGUUUAACCAAAUAAAUUUUGCUGUACUUUUAUUUUGAGGUGAAAUAUUGCUGUAACCUCUUAGGUAGAACAUAUAAUUUAGAUUGACUGAAAUAUCGUUUUGUGAGGCAAACUUUAGAAGAGGGACACCUGUGGCAUUUAGCGGGGGCUAGAGGUUAGUGCAGUUGGAUGUUGGAUCUCUUGAGGCUGCUUGGUAGUUUGGUUCAGGUUGUGUUUUUGCCCGGUGUGAUUUCUUAAAGGGGAUCUUAUAAUUUUGCUGUAGAGUUAUGGGUAUGUGUAUGUUUUGGGUGUGUCGUGAAUAUUGUGUUUUGGUGAGUGGGUGUGUGUGUUGUAAGAGCUCUUUCCCAUUUUUUUUCCUUCUUGAUAUAAUGAUAUGCAGCUUUCCUGUUCGAGAUUUUUUUUUUGUUUGCAAUGCAAUGUUCAGUUCUCCUUUGUCUUCAAGGAAAAAAAAGUUUCAUAUAAACUCAAUGAAUAAUAUUGUGUCUUUCUAGGGAUGGAAAUGAUCAGAAAUGGUUGGUUAUGAUAGUUACUAUAUGGAAACUAUUCCUGGUCAGUCAGAAACUCACCAUAUUUUCAUUUUAACUAUUUAGUGACAGCAUCAAUACGGUACAUGAAAUUAGAAAUCAAAAGUUAAAAUAUGAAUAUACGAUAAUGGUCUGAAACGGUCAUAAAUGAUAUCAUCAUUAUUACAGAAAUGUCCCAUGAUAAAUGGGAUAUUCCAUUCUCGCUUUCAUCCCUAUGUCCGUCCAUCUCUGGAGGACUGGCUAACUCUAUCUGACUGUUGAAGAAUUUAAAUACUGAGAAGUAAAGCGACAGCUAAAUCUCAAGUGUUUCACGAAUGGUUGAUUCUGUGAUCCUUUUUAUGUACUAAAAACAUAGGACCAAUUCAUGUAAGCUGUUAGCAUUGUGGUUUUGUGCCUUUUCAUUCCAGACUCCAGAGUUAUACAGCCUGUCCAUUCCCAUUGCUUUUGGUUCUGAAACAUCUUCAAUUACUGCCAUGCUUCUGAAACAUUUAUUCCAACUGUAGAUUAUUGUCAAGAGUGGUGAUGACUGCCGUCAAGAACACUUGGCCGUACAGCUUGUUGCACAUUUCUAUGGUGAAAGCUGAUUCUCAUUCCUAUAAUGAUUUGUCAUUUUUGCAUUUGCAUUCGCAUUGUGCCUUUCUCCAUCAGAUAAAUAUGCUAUUUCCUUCAGAAAAUGGCCUUUUGGACUUUCAUUUCGUCAUGCUCUAGUUUGUUGUUUCUAUCGGAUAUCUGAAUCUUAAGCAUUUAACUUGCUGUUUUGACAUCUCCUAUAUAUGCAAAUGUUUCAAAAUUCAAACAGAUGCAACCAUGGAUUAAGUAUAUAUAUUUUCUUCCUAGGUAAAGCCAUGAUUACUAAAUGACUUGUCUGUAAAUGUUUUUGACUUUUGUACUGUUGUACAUAGAUAUAGCACCAGUUUCUUGCACACAGAAAUAGCACCACUCCUAUUGGUUGUAAUAUUUGUGUUUGGAACAGAAUUAAUAUAUUGCAGUCUCAAAUUUUUGAAUGCUUGUAUGCACUAUAUUAGACGACAGAGGGUGUAUUUUUUUUCAUUGGUAUGUUAAUUUUCUGUUUCUGCUCUUAUUUAAACUCCUGAUGUCAGACAUAUAUCAAGAAGCUGGUUUACCACUAUGGCUGCGGCCUUAUGAAGUGAUUGUUACUUCUGCUUAUACAGCACUAAUUGAGACUAUCCCUGAUACGGUAGGUACCUUACCUUCUUAACUACUACCAUCAUUAUUACUAUAUGUUUGGUACUACAAGUUUAUUUCUUGUUACUGCAGGCAUCAAUCCAUUCCGUCAAAAGUAGGUUUCCCAAUAUUUCAAGUCUCCGAGACUACUAUGUAGCCAAGUAUGAAGAGAAUUCUCCAAAUUUCAAACUUGCACAGGUGAGAUGCUACCUUUCGGGGUAGAAGCAAAUUAUAUCCUUGUGACUGGAGUUGGGUCUGUUAGCCUCUCCUUCGUACCUUUACUCGCACAGGUGACAUGCAGCGCUCAUGCUUGCAUUGUCUGAGAAAAUCAAGAUAUGUAUAUUUAUUCAUUUGCUUCUUGAAUGCAAAGUUUAGGUUUAUUUCAGUAAUCAUUAUACCAACUUGUCAAUCCCUUAUGCUAUGCAUGUCUAUGCAAAAAAUGUGUUUAGCUGCAUUUGCUUCUUAAUUGUCAUUUAUAAGAAUAAUUUUCAUGCAUUAUUCUACCAUGUUUUUUGUGAUACUUGAUAAACAACAGCAAGAAAACUGUACAGUGGGAUCUUCAUGUGGUCAAUCUAUUGUCAGCCUAGGAGGGUUAAUAUGAAAUCUAGUAUUGUUGAAACUCAGAAAGUCAGAACUGUUUUUCUUUUUUACAGAGAAACUUUGUUGAAAGUAUGGCUGGAUAUUCAAUUCUGUGCUACCUACUUCAGGUGCUGAAAUGCAACAUAUCUGGUAACUGAUUGAUGUCAUUGUUGAUACAAAUUCUAAGCCCAUAGCUGGUGUUCCUUUUUUUUUGUGAAUUUACAGGUGAAAGAUCGCCACAAUGGGAAUCUUCUAAUAGAUGAGGAAGGACAUAUUAUUCAUAUUGAUUUUGGUUUCAUACUAUCUAACUCUCCUGGAGGGGUAAACUUCGAGAGUGCACCAUUUAAACUAACAAGGGAACUCCUUGAAGUAUGAUGGAAGCUUGAAAUUUGUUUAGAUUUUUUUAUAUUAUAAAAAUGAGUUUUAAAUACUAAUAUAUUUUUGGGUUGAAAAUUUGCUAGGUGAUGGAUUCUGAUGCAGAGGGAACUCCCAGCGAGUUCUUUGAUUACUUCAAGGUAUAUUAAAUGAUAGACUCCCUUGGUUGUUGCUGGGGCUUGUCAUUUUUGUAUAGGCUAUAUAUUAAUUUGUAUUUCUUCAGGUCCUAUGCAUUCAAGGUUUCCUGACUUGUCGGAAGCAUGCAGAGCGUAUUAUACUUCUUGUGGAAAUGUUGCAGGUAACAUACUUUAUCUGUGUUGCCUAAUAUAUGUCAUUCAACUAAGUUUUAAAGGCAAAUAUUUGUUUAAUGCAAACACAUUUUUAGCUCAACAUUUUGUGAUGGAUAUCGGUAAAGAAUUAGUUCAUUAGAUCCUUUGACAGGUUCUCCAUAUUGGCCAAAAGUUCCACUCUCAAUUUUUAUCCAAUACGAACUUGACUUUUUUUGCUGUGCCAUGUAAUCUGACCUACUACAGUGAAUCUGUUUUCUUGCAUUCAAGCAUAUAAAUUGAUUUGAGUUAACCUUUUUUGUAUGGUGUAAUGUUACCCUUGCAUGUCUGGUAUCUGGCAUGCUGUUUACCUAUAAUUGUGUUCAUUAGCUUUUUCUCUGAUUUGGCUAGUAUGCAACAAAUUAUCUUACAAGUAUUAUAUUGUGUCCCCUUACCAGGAUUCUGGCUUUCCAUGUUUCAAAGGUGGCCCUCGCACUAUACAGAACUUGAGGAAGAGGUUCCACUUGAGUCUAACUGAAGAGGUUUGCAUACUAAUCUUUGCUAGUCAUCAUCAUUCCUAGAACUUUUUCUAACUAUUACCUUACGAUGGGUGCAGCAAUGCGUAUCCCUGGUGCUCUCACUGAUCAGUAGCAGCAUGGAUGCUUGGCGCACUCGGCAAUAUGAUUACUACCAGAGAGUAUUGAAUGGAAUUUUAUGAUUUUCCCCACAAGAGUCACGGAUUCAUUCAGAAACCAAACUUCUUGUAUCCUUGGAGCAAACCAUGGGAUUGCAUAGGUCAGUUUGGGGCUGAUCUAUACUGGGUAAUUGAGCACUGUGUUUUCAUGUGGCAUUGCACAUUUUUGGUCAACUAGGGAAACAGAUUGGUGCCUGCAUUCUACUUUCAUGUGAUCCCCCCUCUGACAGAGUUAAGUGUACAGUCAUCGGCAGUUAUCUAGUUAGUGCUUUGUGCUAGGAGGUUGCGACUAGUGGAGCUCUAUUUGGCAUAUUGGAAUUUGGAACCCGAGCUGCAUUGUUGUACAGACCUUUGGUUGACGUAGCUUGGACAGGAUGUAGGAGAGGACUGGGCCAUACUUUGAAGCAAACAAGUGUAAAUUAUAGGCAUAUGGGAGCUGGGGAUAAUCCGAGGACAAGAACAGAUAUGCCGUUCGAAGUGUCACUGUACUGAUGUCCUGUGGUAUCCCUAUAGCGCCAAAGUAGAUGGAGAUGUGCUUUGCUGCAUUUGUAAAUUACCAAUACUGUACAGGGACCAUACUAUAGGAGCUUUCCGUUUUUUAGUUGUUAAGAUAUUAAUUCCUUUUGUUGUGGCUGUCUGGCCUACGAAGAUCUAGGUGAUAGCUUGUUCACUAGCAGUAUGAUCAGUGUUUGGUAUUUUUUGCUAUUUUUUCCUGUGGCCCUAGCAAAUUGCAAUGUGGAUACAAAAAAUACAUUUCCUUGUGUCAUGAAGAAAAACACUGCAAUAUUUUUAGUACAUUUUGCUGUACCAUGAGAGAUCAAAUUUCUUUCUUGUGCAAGACUGACGUGCAGUCUGAAGUUUCAUAAGAGUGGUUGCUAUGUAUGGAUCAGGUUCAGGUAGAGACUUAUAAUGCUGUGAUAAAAUUUAAUAUGACUAAUUAUGUUAAAUUUAUGAUAUUUUAAUUAAUAUGGUCAAUGAUGUAUAAUAUAGAUUUUAGCUAGCCGAAGCCCGUGCGUUGCUCUGGGUGAAAGAAGUAUGUUAAUUCAGUUUGUUGCUUCAAUAAAAAGGGUUUUUUGAAACGACGUUGAUGCCAAUAAUGAAGUAAAAGCGCUUCAAUAAAAAGGUUUUUCGAAAUGAUGUUGAUGCCAAUAAUGAAGUAGAAGCGACACAUGAUCUAUUAAGUGGAAUGAAAUAUUAGCAAGGGAAAAAUCAUAAAAUUUUAAAAAUUAGGGUAAAACCACAAUUGGUUUGCUCGAUGGGACAAGAUCAUAAUUUUAUAUUUCUUUACUUUGUGAAUUAAUCUUUACGUAUUCAAAACAAAAUAUCACUUUGCUCCUAUUCUACCAUCCUUGCUAACGGUGUUAAUUUUUUUUAUAAAAGGACAAAUAUUCCGAUUGAUUUCACCCCUGAUUUUAUGGCUAUUUAUGAGUUUACCUCUGAUUUAGAGUAAGACAUUUAUAUUGUAUUUUGACAAAAAGGUUAGGUCAGGUCAAAUAUAUUUAACGAAUUUUGCAAAGUUUUUUCAAACAGAUCUAAUAUUGAAAAAGAAAAUCAAACAAAAUCUUCUUUUGUGUACUCUUUUUAUACGUGUUUGUACGGUGCAUCGUGUAUAUAUUAGUUCAAAUCUGAAAUCUCUAUUUAUUGUGCAUAAAUAUGAUCAAUUAGAGAGCUGCAAUUGCUAUAAUCUUGUCAUGUCGAGUUUCUCUAGUUUUGUUCUAAAGAAACAUGUUAAAAUUCAAGAAGAGGAGCAAUGUUGGCUACUAACUAUAACCUGCCCUUCAACAAAGCUCAAACCCAAAAUGGUUUGUUGUGAAGGAGAGAAUGAUGAGGACAUGACACCUUUGGAUAUGACCAUUGAUUAUAAGGUGAGCUUAUUUAUAUAUUCGCAUAAUGAUUUUUAGUAUAAUUCACUUGGUUCCAUAUUACAUGUCAUUAUUUGCUUGUAGGUAUGAAUGUUCUCAAAGUGCAAGGUCAUCGAUGCUAAAUUUUUAGUUUGCUAGCGGCCCGACAGUACUUUAUUGGGAAGACCAUAACUCUUUUUUCCAGAGUGAUUUUCAAAUAGAUCUGGUUUGAGACCAUAACUCCUUUGUCCAGAGUGAUUUUGAGGUUCAUGCAUACUUGAUGGAAAGCUUAUUUGAUUCUCUUUCAAAUGGAUCUGGUUUGACCUCAAUAUCAUGUUAGCAAGGCCUCUAAAUCAUUAAGACAUGUUGUCGCUAUUUCUACCGAGAGCUACGUCAAUAUUAGGAGCUUGUUAUUUACCCUUGGAAUCCUGGGUCAAGUUGGAGCAUGCCCCAAGGAGAUGGAGAACACCCAAAAUAAACUUUUGGACGUCCUCUCCCUUGGCCACCACCUUACCACAUCGUUCCUAGAGUAAGGAAAGUAAGAGUCCAAACCCAACACGUUUUGGAAGUUGGAUUCAGGCUACAGAACAACCCCAAUUGGAUCACCACGACUUCAUAUGGAUGCCAAUUGGGACGUUCUCAUACUUGAUGGAAAGCUUAUGAAGUCUAAUUUUUAAUGGGUCGAACCACAUGUCCAUAUCUCUUCUGAGUUAGGUGUAAUUAUUGUUUUAUUAUUGAAACCUUUUCUGCUUACGGUGCCAUGUUACCCUAUUUUGGGUCAAUGGUCCAUGUAUCAAGUUGAGUCCAUCACGGACAUGUCCUAGGGUUGGAGGACGACUCUAGCACCCUUUUGGUCGUCCUCCUCUCUACUUAUUUGCCACUAGAGCCACCAUGAACAAUUUGGGUUUUAUUUAUAUUAAGUUUAGCUUUUGCUACUUGCCUGUAAGCAUGCGUGCUGGAUCAUCUGUCCGUCUUCUUGUAUUUAGAAUCCUACUUCAUAGGACAUUGAGGUUGAAACCUUCAUUUAUAUCUAGUAAUUCAGUACUAAUUCUACUUGUUCUUGUUGGUUCUUCGAUUGUUUGCAGGACAAGUGUCAUAGUGGUUGGGUGUCGCGCUCCAUAAGAUCGGGACAACCAUUGGGGUUGGUGUAUCGGUUGCUAAGAUGCAGUCUUAGAAGACUGUAGUCGGGUUGUGAAUGCCAUCUUGAUUCACCAAUCGAGUUGUCCCAUGCCUCUCAUUGAAAGAUCAGGCAAAAACCCUAACGGAUUCACAUCACUGGGCCGCGAGUGGAGCUGGGCCAGCGCGCGAGAGAAUGCAUCGGGCCUCAGCCUUAGUUUUGGGCCGAAAACAAGAGAGGAAAAGAUCUUCUCUUUAUCAUUUUUAUUUUCUAUUUUCAAAACCAUUUUCAAAAGAGAAUUUUAAAUCAGUUUGAAUUUGAAACAAAACUGAAAGCCCUAGUUUGAUUUUGGAUAAUUGAUGAAACCUAUGUGUACUAACCUUUGUCAUGAGUGAAAUAUAAAGAUAGGUUGGUACACACCAAGUGAUGGAGCUAGAUGAUGGUCAUGGUGAUGGAGGUGACCAAAAGAAAUUAUCAAGUGCUCUAACUUGGAAAAGAAGAAAGAGAAAAAUAAAAUGGGCUCAAGGCAAAGGUAUUUUUAAUAGGGCCAUUUUGUUUUUCCACUCAAGACACCUAGUGGGUGUGAGUGGAUUUAGGAUAGAUAACCGUACUAUAAAGAGGGGAAAUCUUUAAUUGCAAUGGUUAUCUAGUGCCACUGAAUAUGUUUCUCUUUUGCAUUUACCUAGCGCUUAGUGACGUUGUGAGCUGCAUGAAAAGCCUAUAAAAAUAUUUGUGAAAAGCUAAUUUAAAUGUCCAAUUUAUUUUGGAAUAUUUUGGUAAAAUUAGCUACUUGAAAAGGUGCUGAAAAUUCACAGAAGGUGAACUGCUGUCCAGCUGCUGAAACAAGCUGAAAGUUUUUGCAAGUAGCUGAAACAAAUUGGAAGCAGUCGCAACUAGUUAAAACUAGUGUGCAGUCCAACAGCAAGCAGGAGAAAGAAAGCUGGAAGUAGUUGUGACCAGUUGGAAUCAGUUAAAAUCAGUGCACAGCUCAACAGCAAGCAUAUGAAGGAAAUUGCAAGAAGCUGGAAGCAGUCGCAACCAGUUAAAUCCAGCGUGUAGGCCAACAGCAGGCAGGUGAAAGUCAGUUGGAAGCAGUUGCAGCUAGUUGGAAUCAGUUGAAAGAAUUCAUAGCUGCUAAUUGUUGUCUGUCUCGUGCGUAAGAAGGAAAUGGCAGAGACCAUACUUGCAUGCGUGCAUGUGGUGGAGCUCUUGCCAUAAUAAAUGAGAGAGAGAAUGAGAAAGGUGAUUUGCAUGGCUGCAUGCAAGUGUGAACACACCUUGAUAAAAGGAGGCAGCCAUUGACUUUGCUAUUCAUAGAGUGGUCCACUCAAGUACAAGGAGGUACUAAUUUGCUCUGUUGUGCACCUCGUCCCAUUUGAAGUGGAGAAGUGGCAGGAGUGCAUGCGCAUGGACUGCAGGGUUGCAGCUCUUUGCCACUUGUUCAUUUAUUUGAUGGGACCCGUUGCUGAGAAAAUUCAGAGAGCUACUCAGUGCCUGUGUUGCUGCCCGUUGUGGCAAACGGUACUGUAGUUGCCUGUUGGGAGAGCUGGCUGGCCAAAUAAUUUAGGCCGAGCGCUCCACUUCCUUUCUCUCGGUCUGGCGAAUACAGAACAAAACACUUCACUCCUUUCUUUCCAGAGAACAAAGAACUCGAGCUCCCCUCUCCCAUCUCUCCCAAGUGCUAAUCCUACGAGAGAUUUUUGAGAGGCCUGCGUGAUUGAUCCAGUGAGCUCGUGAGCAUCUCCUCCCUCUCCUCUCCCUCUCAUAGCUUGGUGCUCAUCUGAGAGAGGAUUGAGGGUAAUCCUAGGUGCAUUUGAAACUGCAUAUUUUGUGGCACUAGGUGAUUAUUGUGAUUGUGGAUCUCUUAUUACUCUUGGUGAUUGCCGUCACCUAGACGGUUGUGGAUUUAUUGAUUGGUGAGGGGAUUUGGUGAUUGUGUCCGCCCCCAAUCAAGGUGAUAUUUGUAAGGGGUUCUUGGGCUUAUUCCCCGGUGGAGUGCCAAAAGCCACUUUAGUAAAUUGCUCGUGUCAUUGAGCUACCUCACUUGUGGGUAGGUUCUUGCGGUGCCCAUUUGUUGGGCUAGGUUUGUGAAACACCUAUUAGCCGCCGAAUCACCAAGUGUUGGUCGACACAACGGGGACUAGCGUGUCGGCAAGCACGUGAACCUCGGGAGAAAAAUAUUGGUGUCAUUAUUGUGAUUGGUAUUCUCCCGGUGAAUAUAUUGAUAUACAUUGUGAUUGGUUCAUCCUCUACACAUCGGUAUAAUUAUCUCUCUUCUCUUUACUUUCUUGCAAAUUAGUUGUAACUAGUAGAUCCUAGUUUUAGCUAGUUGUAACUAGUUGUAAAGAGUAGUGACAUCGCCAUUGCUUGUGCCUAGAGAUCAUAGCAACUAGAAUUAUUGGAUAGGUGGCUUGCAACCCUUGUAAAGCUAGAGCAAAAUUGCUUUACGCCUUUUGUUAUAUUAAUCCUUUGCUCUAGUGCCUUGUAGAUUUUUUAAAUAGGCUAUUCACCCCCCUCUAGCCAUAUUAGGACCUUUCAAAAACCCACUCAACACAAAAAUAAUAUGCAACAGCAUGUAUGCAAAAGACAUGUAGCUAGAUCUUAUAGUUGAUUUUAUUUUAAUAAAAAAUAUUAAUAUGCUAAUUUUAAUGCUCACAAAAUACAUAAAUAAAUCAAGUUUAAACCUAUUUAAGGAAAAGCAAAUUUUGGAUGUUACAGCCUGUUGUUGUAACAUGGUUCACGGUCGGCUACGAAUAAAGGAAUAAUACAAGAUCAAAUAAAUAUGAUCACCAACAUAGGUUUAGGGUUUCAAGUGACAGAAUUCCAUGAAUUUUGGUGAAUUGUGACUUUGCAGGGACUAAUCAGCCUAAAACAACAAAGGAAUCCUUGCAUGGCAUGAUUCCUUUCGCAAACCGAUCGGACACCGACACCAUAGGACUCUAGAAGACACAAGGAAACACCGGAAGAAGUGAGGGAGCGUGAGGCUACCAGGUGGGGCCGGUUGGCCCCACACCUAGGCCGAUCGGUCUCCUCCCGUGGCAAUUUGCUAUGAGCUUCUAGAAUGUUCCUCCACCGCCUCUAAGGAUGUAUCUCCACCAUACAUUAAGGUCGGUUUGAUCCAAAGACCAUGGUUCAUCCCUUCAGGCUAUAUAACUAGACCCUAGCCCCUUCUAGAAAUCAUAUCUCAAUCAAUCAAAUGAUUUGAAGAGGCGAAGGAUCAUUCAGAAACCCUAAUUUUGUGAGAGCUCCACCAAUUCUAUGGCAUAGCUAGAUAGAAUUAGAAUUAGAGGAGGCAAGCAUCAUUUGGAUUCUAGAUCUAGUUGUGAGGAGGCUUAGUAAACCCUAGUUUUUCUCUCCUGUAUCAACAUUGUUCUUAUAUUGUUCUAGUUCUUGAUACAUUUGAUAUGACUUUAUUCUUAAUCUAUAUCAUGUUCUUUGUUAUAAUGUUCAUUGUCUACUUUGAUUAUAUAUUUGGCAUAGAUAGUUUAUCUUUAUGCUUAUAUUCAUGUUUGUAUAGCGCUCAUCCAAGUGAUCCAUGGGUGAGUGAGCGUGGUGCUUAUACGUUGUUUACCUGCGAAUGCACCCUAUAUUCUAGGUCAUGUGGUAGAUUGUGGGUGUGACAUUCCCAUUGAGUCCUCUGGGCUCCACUCCCCAAGUGUAGGUUUUAUUAGUAAGAUGCGGUUUCAAGGCUUGGUUUUACUCUGCUUGUCAACCCUACUUUAGAAAUGUCUCUUUGCUAUGAAUAUGAGAUAACCUAGACAAUGAUUACUAAAUAUUUAUUGCACCAAUGAAUGUAUUCUCUAAUCUCUAUUCUAAUCAAUGCUAGCUAUAGAAUAGAAUGCUCUUAGGGUUAUCAUAGACUGCUGUUAUCAUAUAUAUUUAUAGUGUACCUUAUCUUUUGAUUGAUCCCUGUUAUAAGUAAAGGAUAGUGAUCUCUAGUUGCGUCAAGGAAGGAUGCAUAUAUAUACAUAUAGGUCUUGUACUGAGUUGGUAUAGAGCUAGGAUUUAUUAUUUUUGAAAUACUUAAUUUCAUGUGUAAAAAUAAUUCCAAAUAAGUCUAGAAUUAUUAUUUGUGCCACGAAAAAUACUCUAAAAAUCCUUAAAAUUCAUGGAAAAUCCCAAAAAUAUUUUGGAACAUGAGAAACCCAAAAAAAGUAUGUGGAGCUCAAGAAAAGAUAUUUGGAGCAUCUAAAAUUAUAUUAUGAUCAUAGAAAAGUGGGGAACAAGUUCAAGAAAAAGCCACAAAAAUUCCCAAGAAGUUUGUAGAGAUAGUUGAUGAAUGAUAAACUCAAAGGAAUAAUUUAGAGCAGAUUUCAGAGAUCUUGUAAAACUCUAAACAAAAAUAUUAAGAUAAAAAAGGUCAUGGCUUGAUUAUAGAAAAGACAAAGACGCCCCAAAGACAUAUCAAUGACCUACUGAACGCAUUUUGAAAGUUUUACUCACUCAUGACACAAAGUCAUGCAACAAGCAAACAUCACAUCAAUAUAAGACAAUCAAAUUAAUAUGAAAAAGUUUGAAACCGCAAUUUUCUAUAUUUAACUUAGCAGAGGCUUAAUUAAUCUUGAAACAUUUUAUGCAAAUGUUGAAAUUAUUUGUUUUAUUUAGUGUUUUCUAUGCACAACCCAAAAUUAGAAAUUUUGAGGUGUGACAUUUAAUGUUACUCAGAGAAAUAAGAUUCUUGCUCAGGUAUGGAAUAUGCCUCAUGUCACUCAAAGUUCUGACAAUGCCACCAUGCAUCUUAAUUUGAAUAGAUCCAUUGCCAACAAUAUCAAGAGGACUGUCAUCACCUAAUCUAACAGAAUCUCCACCUUAGAUAGAAUCAUAGGUGAGAAACCAAUCUCUAUUAAUGCAUAUAUGAAGUGAAGAAGUGGAAUCAAGAAUUCAUUCAUCAGCACUAUUUGCACAUCUAGCGAAAACAACAAAGAAAUCACCAUUCCAAUUAUCUGCCUUAGAAGCAGAAACGAAAGCAUUACCUUCAUCAUUAGGUUUACCUUUCUCUCUAUAUGAGUCAGUUAUCUUCUCUUUACUGUUUAAUUUACAAUACUCAGUUAUAAAAUGAUUAUUCUUCUUGUAAUACUUGCAGAAUUUAUCUCCCUUAAAAAUGAGACUUUGAUCGACCUUUAUAGCCAUUAGGACUUUUGCCUUUAUUGCCAUUAAAUUUAUUUUCUGUUCUCCCAAGAACAGACAAUGUUUUUCCAUUCGGAGCAGAACCUUUAGAAGACACCAUUUGUUUCAUCUUUUCCUUGGUAUGCGACGCCUCAGAAACCUCAUCAAAAGUUAGAGUAUCAUGACCAUAUAAUAAUUUAUCUCUGAAAUUUGCAAAAAAAACUAGACAAAGAGUACAAAAGAAUAGGACCCAAAUCUUUAUCAUCGUAAUCUACCUCCAUAACCUGUAGAUCUGUAACGAUCUCCUUGAAGACCGAAAGAUGGUUAAGCACAAAACCAUCUUCUUGCAACUUAUGUGUAUAUAACUUCAUCUUUAAAUGCAUCUUGCUUGUUAAAUUUUUAGACAUGCAAAAUGACUCUAACUUGAGCCAUAAAACAGCUACAGUAUUCUCCUGCAAACAAUCUUGCAAAAUGUUAUUUAAAAGAUAAAGCUGAAUUUGAGUCAAGGCCUUACAAUUUCUUCUCUUCUCAUCAUCGCUCUAAGAUUUUGAAUCCUUGUUACUGAAUUUAUCAAGAGCAUCAUCCACUUCAGCCUGCUUAAGAUGAGUCCUCAUCAUGACUAGCCAUAGAGCGAACCUUGUGUCUGCGAUCCAGUUAAGGAAUAUCAUAUUUCAUGAAGACAUAGUGAAAACAUAAUAGCACUAAUCAGAAGAAUAAUAAUCUAUAGAAAAACUGGUACACCCUAUGUGCACAAAAUAAUAAAUCUGCAGCUUGGUAUACUUGUUGUGUAUAAUUGGCAAAGAUCUGCCGACGAACAAAUCUCUUGGUACGAAUCCUUAUUUAUACUUUGCGAAAAUUGGUGAGUUCAACAUCCACCACCAACAGGAUGUGCGUGUAGCACUUGCCCUCGAUGUGCGUGCACAAGGGCCAAAAGCACUGCGUCAACAGCUGACAACAGGGGACAACAUAGUAGACCAAUCUGAUGACAUCGUCUCGUUCACGGCAUGAAAUCAAACUCACGGACGGCAAGGAAUGAAGGAACAGUGCCAAUUGAACUGUGCCUGUUCAGUUCACAAUCUCCGACAGGUGUAGAUUUGAGACUCCGCCUUGGACUCGUUUGCGGAAACACUACAAGUUGCCGAUACACGACACCGAUGGAGAGCACGAUGAACACAGCGAGAUCCAAAUGGACGAUGACCACUCGACGAGCACCGGCGGCGGGCAAACAGGGUGUAAAACCUUAAUAUUUUUUUAACAGAAAAAGUUUAAAUUUCUCCUCUAAGUUUAGUAUAUGUCCAGAUUACCCUUAAACUUACAAUUGAUUCAAUUUACUUCCUCCAACUAUUUCAGUUGGUCUAGUUUACCCCUUAACAUGAUUUGUUAUUUUAGUUUUUUCACGUAUUAGUUGAGUUUUAAUAUCAACUUUUGUGAUAUAAUAGAGAAUAAUAUCAUAAGUUAUGUUAAAACUUUUUACGAAAAUUUUGAUAGCUUAGAAAAUUUAACAAUAAAUUAACAAUAGGGAUACAAUAUCAUAUAAAAUAUAAUGAGGAAAAAUUUAUAAUGUAUUUUUCUAACACAAAAUACAAUGUCCUCUAUCACCUCGCAAAAUUUCAAGCUAAAAUUUAAUUUGUACAUAGAGAAACAAAAUAGAAAAAUCUCUUUAAGGUGUUAGUUGGACCAACUUAAAUAGGUGGAGGGAGAAAAUUGAACCAAAUAUUAGUUUGGGGGUUAUUUGAACAUAGACCAAACUUGAAGGGAGUAAUAUGGACUUUUUCCUUUUUUAAUCUCGUGUCUGGCUCUAGAUACCACUUAAUAGAAAAAAAUACGAAUAUAGAUCGAACACGAGACACAUUUACAUAGAAAACUCUUGUGGGGAAAACCACGAGUGUCAACCAGUUUAUGGAACACAGACAAUAUGAUGAGUUGUUUCUCUCAACUCUUCUCAUAUAGCUUACAAAAUGUAUUUAUAGGACGCACUGACUGCAGUAAAAUAUACAAAGAAAUUCGCUAAUAAACAUAACCCCAACUGUGAGCCCUUGAGACGUCCCUAUAAGACUCACGUUAAGUCAGUGGCACAAGCUUUGCCGACUUAUAUUAUGAGCGUUAUUAAUAUCCCUUUGCUCUUAUGUGAUAGUCUCACCUCCAUCAUUAGAGACUUCUGGUGGGUAGUGGUGAAAGGAAAUAGGAAGACAGCAUGGGUGGCCUGGCGUGACCUAACAGAAGAAAAUUUCACGGUGGACAUGGUUUUAGAGAUAUGCGGAUUUUUAACCAAGCUUUGUUGGCAUGUCGAUCAGGCGUGGAGGCUUAUCGAUCAUCCGGAUAGAUAGUAUGUGUGUGCACGUUUACUGAAAGUCUGAAAGCAAAGUAUUUUCCUAGAGGCUCCUUGAUUGAUACAGUGUCUCAGGCGAGCGCUUCACAGGCAGGUGAUCAUGUAUGGUUUUUCUGCCCUUAAGGGCAUAUGCUCCUACUCCCUUUACCAUUGGAUUCGUAUUGAGAAGUUUGCAAAUACACAUCUCAAUGCAGAUUCACUUUGAGAUGUGUGUUUGCGCACUUCUCAAUACGAAUCCAGUAGUGGAGGGAGUGGGAGCACAUGUCUUUAAGGACAAAAAUAACUUUACCAUCAUGUAUCGGCUUGAGCUAUUCAAUGGAGGGACGCAUGUGGCGAAUUAGCAAUAGCUUCAGUGUCAGAAUUUGGAGAGACCCGUGAAACGCCUGAGAUUUCUCUUGUAAAGUCACAAGUCACAACUCGAAGGGGACCAUGCCGCUUCCACUGGGUUUUAGACUUACUGGACUCGGCUAGACACAAUUGGAACUUCGACGGAUUGGUAGUGAUUUUCAAUCUGGCGGACUCUGUAGAAAUCACCAAGAUAAAAUUAUGAGAAAGGAGAAUUAAAGAUGUGCUAGCGUGGCAUCUAGAAAAAUCUAGCUGUUUCACGCUAUGGAGUGCCUACAGGUCGUGCAGCAGUAGAAACAGCUUCAAGCACGCCACCAAAGGUGUGCAUGUGUAACACGCUCUAGAGUCCAAACGGCUCAAAUUAACUUUGCAUGCUGAGCAAAUCACACCUACCACUAUCUCAUUUGUGCUUUUGUCUUUGGUUUAUGUAAAAGGAUUAACUCAAGGAUGGUGGCAUGGACUCUAGAGGCCUUAUAUGUUGAUCUAACCCACCUUUAACAACCAUGGGUCACCACGGGCCAAGUUCUAAACUAGACCAGUGUAACAUACACCCACCCCCUCAAAGGACCUGACAUCCUCGUCGGCCCAACAUACCCAGAACUGGGCAAACGAUGACCAGAAACAUUGUCUCUUAGCACACGUGACCGUACGUCUAGUGCCGACACAUGUGCCACACCGUGCACCCCGCAGGGCUUACACGCACAAUGAACCCUAUGUACGCAACCCCUAACCCACACGUGCCCAUGGCCGCGAAGGUCAGCUCUGAUACCAUUUGUAAUGCCUCAAACUCCAAAUAGUUCAAAUCCACAUUGCACAAUGUGAGAACCACUUCUAUCACAACUCCACUUAUGCUUUCGUCCUUGCUUCGCGUAAAAGGAUUAACGCAAGGAUGAUGAUGAUGGACUUUAGAGGCCUUAUAUAUUGGUCUAACCCACCCUUAACAACCAAGGUAGGACUAAAUCCUUCAUAAUUAUCCCAUAAUAUGCACAUGGGCCACCAUGGACUAAACUCCAAAUUUAACCGGAUGUGAUAGCAUGUCUGCUUGGAAAUUAGCAAGAGAUGUGCUUCCUACAAAGAAGAAUAAGGGAUCGAAGAAAGCUUCCACGCCAAUUUAGAAUGUGUCCAAGCCAAGAACUUGCGGUACGCUAUGAGAGACCAUUGGCUACUGCUUCUCUUUGAUGGAUGCACGCCGGAUCAAGGGGGGUUGGUCUUGCUCAUGUUGUGGAGAGCAUGGAUAGUUCAAAAUUACAUCACGUGUAACUUAGGUUCGGCUAACUUAAUUGAAUCUAUCCAUUUCCUUUUGAGCUAUAGGAAUAUUGUGUUGCAGGUCCGCCAAAAUGACAUGCCAACGGAUACCAAUGGUAAAGGGCUAAAGGGUCGUAAUGGAUGCCCACUCGUGUUCUUGCACCUGACAACGGGAGGACGGAGAAGUGGACUCCCCCGCUAGCAGGCUAGAUGAAGAUGAACAUGGAUGGUUCUUUCGUCAUGUAAACUAGGAAGGCGUGCAUUGGUGUUGUUAUCAGGAAUAGCAGAGGUGAAGUUGUUCUGACAGCUUGGAGGGUCUAGUGCAUCAGCAAUUGAGGCAAGAGCUCAAGCAUGCGCGGAAGGGCUCCCGUUGGACUUAGAAUAGUGUCCAAGACCAAUUAUUAUGGAAUUGGAUAGUGCCACAGUAUUUGCUGCGAUGGUGUCCGGCAGCAUGGAUAGAUUCAAAAUCAAAUAUAUUAUCUUGGGAGUCAAGGAAUAUCUGCAAACACUGGUGGAGUGGAAAUUCUAGAAGGUAAAGAGAGAGUGGAACAAGGUCGCUCAUGAGCUAGGUUAUUUAGCUAGGUGAAAUACUCAUACGUCUACUUGGUGGAGACAGGAACUUGCGUGUGUCUUAGUCAUCCUAAACGAUGAUUGUAAUGUUUUGCCAAGUUAAAUAAAGCUCUUUUUACGCCACAAAAAAAUUAGCACUUGAUUCAUCACUUUGGGACUCGCCACAACAAGGCUAUCGUAGGUUGUCGGCAAGCAACUGAACCUUGGGGAUAAAUUCUUGUGUCAAUCACUUGCCCAUGUUGGUUUGCCUUCUACACACUUGUUCUUCACAAUGCAAUUACUUACUUGUGUGUAGCUGUUUGCCUUUCUAGCUAUUGUAGCAUGGUUGUAGUUAUGGAAAUUAGGUUCAAGGUUCCUGCUUUGUUGAUAAUUGCUUUACAAGCUCACCUGCUAACACAAAGAGCAAAGGGGUGGGCAGGUCAACUUGUUUGAGCCGUCUUUUGCAUUUGGAUUUUUGGUCAGGAGCCCCAUUCAGAAUUAGCGAAGGCAUUGCUGAGGAGGGGAACAUGUGGAUCCACUGUAGCCAUUUAUCUAGAAAACCCAUAUGUUCCAUUACGUAGAUGAUAGUGUCAUGUUCCACUGUAGGCUUUUUUAAAGUAUAGUUUCAAGAUGACAACUCCUCGCUUGGAUUGGUGGCAUUGAUGGAUGUAUUUGGAAACUCCAAGCAAGGUAGUUCUAGAUGGACUCGACUUGUUGGAACCAUAUUUGUUUUGUUGUAUUAGAUUCAGGAUGACCCUCCAGAUACGAUAACUGAGGAAUUUUCAUCAGAAGCUUAAGGAUGCUCUUCAAGAGAGAAAUUGAGUGGUAGCUAUUGGCUCUCUUAGGGUUUGUUUACCUUGGGAACAAGAGAGAUCAUGGAGCUGUUGGUGCUUACCAUGUUGAUGUUACCUUGGUGAAAAGCUUGGCAUAGCCAGUAAAAGUCAUGUUUGAUUAUAUUUGAGCAUUUCUUUAUGAAGUUGCCAUUGAAACCAUCUAGGAAAGUGAUUUGUCAAGAGGCAUGUGUUUCACCCCCAUAACAAUUUCCUGUUCAAGGGAAGGUGCCAUUAGGGCUUGGAGAUCAUCAUUUUCACUGAACAGGCUGGGAAGAUUGAAGUGCAUCACAAGAUUCAUGGAGACGUCCACUCUAUUUUUGAAGGAGUUCCUAAUGAGGACAGCUUUCCCCUCAAGGUCUUGUAUCUAAACCGCUUCAUUAUUGAUGAGUUGCGUGAUGCAUCUCUUUCUAUAAGAGGCAGUAGCCAUUGCUCUAUGUACCACUUUUUCUAGAGCAUUUCAAGCUCCUUCUACUCUAGGACUUGAGGUCAUAUCUUAGAUUCCACUCUUGAGUUAUGCAAACCUCUCUUAUCAUCUAUAGAGUUGAGGAAAAGGAGGACUGAGUUGCAGUUGGCUAUGAGCACUUUGAGAUUUGAUAGACCUCUACUCCAGGAGUUGAGGUCAUAACUUAGAUUCUUGAAUUUCAUCGGUAGAACCGUAGUUGCAUCUCGCUCAUUUAGCAGCUGAUUCCAGGAUAUUUGGACUAGUUUCAUGUUCUGACCAGAAAUUUUCAAACCAAAUGAUGUUGAAUGAGAAAUUUUUGUACCAUCACCACUUUACAUGGGAUUAUAGUAAUAUGAUGGGUUGCUUUAGUAUAGACUUAGUUGUAU
RNAcentral lists this long non-coding RNA (46164 nucleotides) under Sorghum bicolor (sorghum). Its description in RNAcentral is "long non-coding RNA (SBIC_LNC008116)". Lineage: Eukaryota; Viridiplantae; Streptophyta; Magnoliopsida; Poales; Poaceae. The record is from RNAcentral.